CUUCAUUUGCUCUACGUCAGAUGAGAUAACGAAAUGGUCAGCCCCAAGCAGGCUCAGUGCUUCCUCCUUUUUAGAAAUGCUUGUACUGAACACUGUGACUUUCAGGUCCAAAAGCCUUCCCAAACUUAACUGCCAUAUGACCGAGCCCGCCAAGUCCAAUUACACCUAGAGACUUACCAGGUUGGUUCAUCUUGUGACGUAUCAUUGGAGUGUACACCGUGAUUCCAGCACAGAGCAAUGGCGCUGCUAGAUCCAUCGGGUAGUUUUCUGGAAUCCUGAAGCAAUACCUGUCAAUGAAGCACCACCAUUAAGUUUCCAAAUAACACCAAGACAGGAAGUGAUUUCCCAAUAGAAUCAGCAUCCUGUCUUUUUUGUCUAAAAGGAAUCAAAUCACAGAGCCAGAAAUCCUAUCUUCCGCAUGCUAAGGAAUUUUACUUGCUUAGACCACAAUUCAGCAUCAUGUUGUUUCCGUGAUCCUUGUUCUGACCACAAAUUGCUCAAGACAAACAUUUCUUGCUGUAGCAACGAAAAUAAAGCAAUUGCAGCACACCGGAGGCCACACUCGAUUAAAAUUAAGAAAAGUCACUUGCUCUAAGAAAGGAAACUGGUGGCAUAUCACAUAUGCUUGAUUGAACACGUAAUUUCUGUAUUUCCUUCAAUCAAUUUCUCCAAGGGAGUCAAGAUUCCUGUGGCUCUAUCAGAUACAAGAAUUACUGAAAGCACAUACAUUUAGCUACCCAUUUGAUCUGAUACUUAUGAUCUAACUUUAACAAUCUAAGGACAGCUUAUUCCAUUCUUGACGAUGCUUACUGAAAAGAAAGAAUUUCUUUUCGCAUUUAAUAAAGCCAAUUCUCCAUUGAAUGGUUUCAAUGGUAAUUGGAUACAGAGGACUUAAAGACCCUCCAAAGCAGUUAUAGAAAGUAUCUUUAUCCCUUUCCACAUGAUGCAUUAUGCCACUUCUGGUCACAAUCAGAAUACGAAGAAAAUUAGCAGAGAAGAAGACAUGACAUGAAAUCUUUUUUUGGCCACCAUGAUUUGAAAUUCUUUCACAGUGCAAAAUGCUGCCUAAUAACAUUGUGUCAAUAAGCAAUUACCUUUCAUGGACGACAAUGUGACUAGAAUAUCCUCCCUUUGUCACUGUACCGUCCGUAUCGAUUCCGUCAAAAGUCAAAACCAUCUUUUCACAGUGGACUUCUAGCCCGUCAUUGCAAUACUCGCACUCUCUGCAUGAAUUGACAUAAGUUCCCACACCCACAUGAUCGCCAACUUUGAAGCGUUGGACACUGGAGCCAACCUGUUUCACAAUUCCAACUAUCUCGUGCCAAUCAAUCCAAAAAAUCAUUCGCAAAUUUUGUUCAGAGAAUUAUUAGGAUGGUGCUAAGAAAAAAGAUUAACAUUCGAAUCACGCUGCAUCCUACCCUGGCACCAGAGGAUACUUGGAGCGUCCCGACAUAUUCCUAGUCCAACCCACAUCUGCAUAGCACACUCCACAGUGCGUGAUCCUAAUCGAGACGUCAUCGCUUCCCACGGUCCUAAAGAGAGAAUUCCCAAACAGGUGAGCAUCUAAUCAAGCAACUAAUCAGACUCAGUUACCUUUUGUUCUCAUUUUCCAGAUCAAUAAACUAAGCGUGGCUUACAAUAAUCAUACAUUCAACCCAAAGCAAAAUUUAAGAAAAGAGAAAUGAAAAGGAACCAAAUCCAAGACUAUAGCAUUUGUCUGAAUAGUACAUACAACCUCAAAUGCUCACAAAGGCAGCACCUGAAUCCUAAUGUCUGCCAUGAAGUUCUAAGCAACUCAUUCUGGGACAUGACAUCUCAUGCGUACGAACAAUUCUCUACCCAGAAAUUAGUGCAUACACAACAAAAUUUAUAAAAGCAAAACGAAAUGGUUUGGUUAAUGUGGAAAUUUAAAUAUAUGACAAGCAUCAAAAACUGUUUUGCAUUACAGGUGAGAGGAUAAGACCUGAGAACACUGUAUUGAGAUUAUUCAGACAAAUACUUCAAUAGAAAUUGAAAGUAUAAGGAGCAGAUGAAUUAAAUAAAGAACAAUGGUAACAGUAAUACCUGCGGCUGAAUUUGUAGGGGGAGAGACGUCCAGAAGGAUCUCUGGCAGCCCAACCAAGACAAUCUUCCUUCGCACCCUCUGAACUCAUCGUUCCUCAACGACCUCAACUGAAAUCGACCCACAAAAAAAUUGCUGCGUUAAUCUCUCAAUAAGCUGAAUUAUGGAAGAAGAAGAAGAAUUAUUUUCGUGAAAGAGAAAUGAAGAAGAGAAUUUCAAACCGAAAAACAGAAGUUCAAAUGGUCAAAAGGCCAAAUGUCACGAAGACUUGGCAAUUCCGUUUCCGUGCAGACAGGAUUUUGCUGUCUGACUUUUGAGCAAAGAGCGAGAUUGAUUAGCAGAGAACGAGGUUGAGCGCUCAAAAACCGUCACCUCUUUAUAGAUGCCAUAGCGUCGCCUGUUCUUGAUUUUUUUUUUCGUUUUAUCUUGUGGAAAAGAAUUAGUGCCAAACGUAAGCCAUUACCUUUCCCAGUAACGUCUUCUGGAGUACGGUUCUUGGUAUUUGCGGAAAUGUGUGUUUGAUGUGUGUGUAAGUGUGUUUUGUGUGUGAACUAUCAAGAGAGCAAAAGAACUAAAAAACGAUGUGAGGAAGAAAUAGUUGGACAAAAUAAUAAUGAGAAUGUGUAAAAGACAAUAAGGCUGAGGCGGUGAAGGAGAGAAACUUGAAUGAAAGUCAACAAUAGUGGCUGAAGAUGAAACUAGUAUGUGGACAGAAAGAGUAUUUGGAGAAGAAAAUGAGUUGUCUUGUAGCUGUACUGCGGCAGUGAAAAAGUGAAAAAUGUCAUGUCGGUUGUAAUUGCCUAUAUAGGCUUAUCAUAUGCUGUGUGAGGUGAACCCUUCACCUUGUGUGGGGUGACCCCUCCACUGUGAGAGGUCUUAGACCUCCACCAUGACCAUAUGAAGAGUGACUAUCAACACCUCCAUUAAAUUAUUUUGUCUUCUUCAAUAAGUUCUUGACAGCUGGAGUUUGAUGAAGAAACUUUGAUUCAUGCUUCUAUUUCUCAUGCACGUAGACUUCUUUAGCCUGUUCUAGGAUUUCUUCUUCAACUUGGCUUUUUCUUACUUGCAUUCCCAUGUGAAUCUUUUAGGUUCAGCUAGCAACCAUCAUUCUCAACAAGUCUAAACAAUCUUCAACAUGGAUGCUGCUACCAACGUUUAUUAAUUUUUAGACAGUUUUAGAGAAAAUGAAUUAUAAUUUCCAACAUAUAGUAUUUUGGAGAAAAAAGUAUUUCAGCAUAACUGUGCAAGGAUUUGUAGAUCACUACAACAUCACCGGAGGCAAAUAAUUAUCCGUCAUUGACAUGAACGAUAUAGAAAAAAUUCUUUUAAUCAUUUACCUUAGUUUAGCAAGAUCUGCUUAAACGACAGCCUUGAGUAUCUUCAAUUCCUUUUCUCUUGCCUUCAAAAAGAUAUUGAAAUGCGACACGGAAUAUCAAGACAGAUUGUCAUUGACAAAGCCGUAAAAGCCUACUCGAUCUGGCAAAACUGGGGACUGUUCUUUCCAACGAUCUUGACCACCUCGGCAGCUGCUGUGCAAAUGGAUAGGAAUGCAUGCAGAGGGACAAGCUGAUUGUUACCUGCUUUUAGUCGUUCAUUUGAAACUGUAAGAUUCAUGUGCCAUAAGAUAGCUAGACAAGCGAGCAAAAAAUGAUGCGCCUUGCACCAAAGGUGGCAAGAGCAAUUAAAUUAAAUUCAAACCAAAAAAAGCUUGAUGCAUAAAAUGAAAAGUCAUCCUUUGAGCGAAUAAAUGACAAAGUAAGUGCAAUGAGAGUCACUAAUGUUCACGCUAGACUUAUGCCAUGACCAUUCCUUAGUCGAGAGAACGUAAGCAGCGACAUCUUCUAGAUAGUGGUUACUAGCAAUUUUAUUUUUUAUCCCCAGCCUAAUCAUAUUAUCCGAGUUAUAAGCUCAGAAAGAAGUCAAUGAGCAAUCUACCGCUAGGACCUAUGAAUGGUCAUACGAUAUUGGUUACACAUCUUGUUAGAAUAUAAUAUGCGGAAAUAAUAGGAUCUUGCAAUUUACGUCAACGCGCAAAAUUCCAGAUAAAUAAACGAGAAAUAAUAAGAAUCAUAAAUUUACGUGAUUCAGUCCGAGUAUCGAUAUUUACAUUCACAGGGAGAGCCAGCAACAAAUAGUCCAUUAUAAUAGGAAAAUCAGAAUUUACAAUCGCACACACGCUCGAUUACUUCCCACACCAAGAUUUAAGCUCAUACUCAAAGAGUUUAUAAAUAAAUAAUUCACUUGGAAAUUAUCUCGCGUUCAAGCUUUAAACUACAAAACAUUCUACGUACGCCAAAAACAAGAACUCCGGCAUUUGUCUUUUGGUUCGCGUACAUACAGAUUCGUGUUCUUCUUUGCUUGAUCGUUCGUGUGGCGCUGUUCUAGACGCUCCUUUUGUGUGGCUCUUUCUUCUUCGUAGGGCUUCAGCGACUCUUUCUAAAAGAAAAAAAAAAAAAACGUGUUCUAAUUUAUAUGUGAGCCUAGAGUCUAACAACUUUGACUUUGAGCCCCACCACGUGCUUCUUUGUUCAAUGGGAAGUGGGACGCGGUGAAGAGACCCUACCUUUUUCUUCCUCUUUCCUUUAUUUUAUAUAUAUUGUGUGCCCAAAGUUAAGACUUUGACUUUGGGCCCCACGUAGAGAGCCUUGUUCGGCUCCCGUAGAUAGAUAAAGAAGAAUCUUUGCUCCUUUUUUGUUAUUCUAUUUUAUUUUCUCUUUUAUAAACUUUCAUGGAGUCCGACGAAGCUUUUUUUUGUUGAUCGAAAAUAUCCAAGACCCAAAAAGAAUUUCGAAUUUCUUUUCUUGUGCAUAAUCUUGAAUAUUAUAUUCAUCAGAAAAUAUCUUCACGAUCAAAUAAUAAAAAAUUUAUCCAAGCAAAUUGCGUUUUGCAAAUAUUUAAAAUUGAGACAUAAUUUAACACAUCUGAUAUGAUGUACUACCCAAUUACUGUCCUCUGACAAUUUAUAUUUGAUUAAUUUAUUUCAAGAAUAUUCAUUUGUUAAACUUGUUGGCUUACAAAUCACUGUCACUAUCACGUGAUAUAUCCUAUAUUGAGAAUACUUGGGAGCAUCUAUGCUUGUUUUAUGUAUGUUAUGCUUGUGAUGCAUCUUGUUUUGAGUGGACUGUAGAACUAUUUAAGUUCAUGCCAAUUUGACUAAUUUUUUAUCUGGAUAAGUGCAUUGGAAUAUUUAAAAACUUAUCAUAAAAAUACAAUUAAGCCAUGAAACUUUGAAAUCAAGUUCUAGAACUUGUCACGUUGGUCUAAUCUAAAUCCUUCCAUUGCAUUUUUGAAAAUUUCAGUACUUAACUACAAUUUUCUAACAAGUUUUAGUAUUUCCAAUAUACAUAUUUGUCUUUCAACCUCACUAAUGUUUUUAAGCAAUAAUGAGCUUGACAUAUCUCUGAUUUCGGAAUUUCAAUGGCUAUAGGAGACAAAAGGACGUCCUCUAAUGAAUCAACAAUCUUAUGCCAUGACAAAGCUGGAAGAGAGAUGAGUGUCUUCCAUAGUUAUAAAAAAUGUUCAUGCGAUAAUCUGUAGGAAUUCGUCUUCCUGACGUGCAUGAAUAUUUCCGGCCAUGAAACAUUUCACAGUGAAGACAUUCUGUCACUUAAACUGGCAAAAGGAUAUUGAGCUUGUUCUUUUGGCGAGGGUAUUGCUAUUAAAUAUGCCAAUUAAUUCCACGACUAUUAGCAUUUGUUUAAAUAGAGCAUACAACCUAAAAUGCUCACAAUGGCAGCUGGUACUGGAUCCUCAUGUCUGCCCAUGAAAUUCUGAGUGCCUCAGACAUGGCAUAUCAUGCACACAAACAAUUCUCAACCCAGAAAUUAGUGCGUACACAACAAAAGUUAAAAAAAGAAAAAAAGAAAUGGUUUGGUUAAUGUGGAAAUUUAACAUAAUGACAAGCAUAAAAAAACUGUUCAGCAGUACAGUAGAGAGGUCAAGACCUGAGAACACUGUAUUGAGACUUAUUCAGAUGAACACUUCAGAUAGUCACUAAAAAGCUAAGGAGCAAAUUGAAUAGAGAAGGGAAAAGUGCCAAAAAAGUCCUAAAACUUUUGUCAUUGUGCCGAUUUAGUCCUAAACAUUUUUAAGUUGUGCAAAUUCAGUCCUUUCCGGCCAAUUUUGCCCGGAUUUUGCUGACUGGACGCCAGUCAGCUGACGUGGACAAUUUUUAAUAAUAUUUUAAUAUUUUAAUAUUUUAUUUUUUAUUUUUUUAUUUUUUUUAUUCUGCUCUUCUUCCUCCAGCCGGUCGCCGGACCUCGGCGACCAGCCACCUCGCCAGUGGCCGCGGGGGCGGCCUCGCGUGGGGCGGCGAGGCUCACCCUCGCCGGAUCUGGCAAGGGUCGAGCCUCGCCCAUGGCCGGCGAGGCCGCCCUCGAGGCCUGGGCUGCGAGGCUCGCCCUCGUCGGAUCUGGCGAGGGCGAGCCCCGCUAGCUUGCCGGAUCUGGAUUUGGCGAGUGAGGGGGUUUGAGCAGGGGGAGAGAGUCAGAGGGGGUAAACCGCUGGCCACCCACCUGAGCCGCGGCCGUCGGCCUACGGCCGCGCCUGGUUUCAAGCACCGAAGCUUCGGUAGGCCUCGGUCCUUUUUUGUGCCUUGCGUUGGUCGGACUAGGCCAGAGCUCGCGGUCUUCAAGGAUUCGGUUCGAGAUCUGAGGGCGUUUGAUCUGGGCGGGACUUGAGAGAGAGAGAGUCCUCUCCCGGCCAAGCCGAGGAAACCCUGGCCACGUGAGACCACCGCCACAAUGCUGCCGCCCAAUGCCGUCCACCGCUGCUCGCCGACCCGCCGCCAUAUCCAGCGAGGGCGAGCCUCGCCCGCCCCGCGCGAGGCCACCCCCACGGCCACUAGCGAGGUGGCUGGCGAGGUCGAGGUCGACCUCACCGGCCGUCACCUCUGGCCGGUCGCCGAGGUCCGACGACCGGCUGGAGGAAGAAAACCAGAAUAAAAAAAUAAAAAAAUAAAAUAAAAAAUUCAAAAAUAUUAAAAUAUUAUUAAAAGUUGUCCACAUCAGCCGGCCGGCGUCUAGUCAGCAAAAUCCGGCCAAAUUGGCCGGAAAUGACUGAAUUGGCACAACUUAAAAAGGUUUAGGACUAAAUUGGCACCAAAAAAAGGUUUAGGACUAAAUCGGCACAAUGACAAAAGGUUUAAGACUUUUUUGGCACUUUUCCCAAAUAAAGAACAAUGGUGAUGAUAAUACCUGCGGUUGAAUUUGUAGGGGGAGAGAAGUCCUAGAAACCGUCAUAAAUGCCAUAGCGAUGGAUGUUCAUGAUUAAUCUUUGAGCUUACUAUUGUGGAAAAGUAUUAGUGAUUCGCCAAAUGUAACCCAUGACCCUUCCUUAACCCAAGAACGCAUGCAGUGACAUCUUCUAGAGAGCGGCUCCUGGAAUUUUUUCCAUCCAUCCUCCCACUACCUAAUUGCAUUAUCAACCUAUUGACACAUAAACGAUGUCAAUAGGCAAUGUGCCGUUGCACCACAAGACCCACAAAUGGUCAUCUAUGUCGGUUACACCACCAAUAAUUUGUACCUGACCCUUCAUGGUCCUAUUAUUUGAUUAAUCUGUUUAAAGAACAUUCAUUUUCUUCAAACAUGCUUUCUCACGUGCCACUGUAAUAUGAUGUUUGUUGCGACCUACCUUCGGAGGGAAGGAAUAGGUUUAGGGGUAUUGGCUAAAGGACGGGCCUAAAGCCUAUAAUUAGACGCGAGCUCUCCUAAACCUAUAUCCCGCAUGACGUUAGGAUAUUCUUAAGAAAUUUUGCUCGCCACUAACCUAUUGGGGUCGGCUAGAAACCAAGUGAGGCAUGGGAGCGUGCCUCACUUUCUACGCAACCAGAGAAUCUGGGUUCGAGGACUUAAUUACACUAAUUAACUAAUUAGUACCCUUUCGAUACCUAAUCUUGUUCAUUUUAACAAAAUGAUUUUUGGCAGGCAGUUUGAAUUGAUUUUAUACUUAUCCACUGACAUAUGAUCAUGCAGAUGCGCAAUCAUUUAAAAUAAUAAUCAUAACUACCAAGAUCCUAAUUAUAGUAAAAUUAACUCAUGCAACUAAACAAUCGCAGACACAGUCGAAUAUGUAAGUUAAACAUGCAAUAUAAUCAAAAUACGAACAAAUAAAUACCGAAUUACACAAAGAAGGGCAAUACACAACAAUUCCUAAUCAAACCCUAUAUUUUUGGAUUUACGAAUUUUUUUAUAUAUAUAUUUUUUAAAUUUAAUAAUUUUGUUUUUUUAAAUAAAUUAAAUUUUCUUUUUAAAGAAAGAUUUUUUUUUAUGUUUUCUGGAUUUUUUAAUUUUCGGAAAUUUUUUGAUUUUUGAUUUUUUUUUUUGAAUUUUUAUAUUUUUAAUAUUUAAUAUUAUUAUAAUCAGGAAAACGGGUCCGACUGGGUAGAUCCGAUGCGGCCAUUGACCCGACCCAAAACCAGAUUCGACUCUAUCGGAUUGAAAGAGAAAAUAAGAUUUUUAAUUAAUUUUUUUAGUUUUUAAACACUUUUUCUGUUUUUUCCUUCUCCUCCUUUUUUGGCCUCCUCCAUGUCUUGUCUUUUCCCUGCAGUCUUCUCAUCCUCGCCGCCUUCACCGAAGAUCCGCCCCCCACAUCUUUUCCACAUUUCUAUUCUUUUUUUUCUUUUUUUUCUUUUCACCACCCUUUUAUUUCUUUUAUUUCUUGUUUUUCUUCUAAGCUUUUCUUUUAAGUUGUCUUCUCUGCAUGCUUUCUUCUCCGCUCGAAGCUUCCAUUAAACACCCGAAACCCCCUCUGCCAUUUCAUACUUUUCUUUUAUUAUUUAUUAUUUUGCCUUUUUAUAUUUCUUUUUCUUUAUUUUUCAUUUUUUUUCUCUCUUUUUGUCCUUUUCCCUAUUUCGGCUAUUCUACUGCAUCUUCUCCUUCCGAAAGCUAACGCCAAUUCUGCAACUUCCUCGCCGAAGCUCCUUCCCACCGAAUCUCAUCCGCACACUAACGACACGGCCCUGAACAAUCGGUGACCCUUCCAUCGCCCGUCCACCGGUAGUCGCUACCCCACGGAAAGAUGAACAGGCGCAAAAGAACAACAAGAAGACAAGGAAUGGAACACGGGUCCCUAAGAUAUUAAGGAACUACGUCAACAUCAAGAAAUGUUCAGAUUCAGCCAUAACAACAACAAAACCUAAACGAAAUCAUGCUCAAUGAUCCAUAAAGGAUUCCUUUUACGCAAGACCGGAGCAUACUCAUUCCAAAUGAUCCGAAAUUCACGACCUAAUCCGCGUUAACUUAGUUCAAGCGUUUUAUCAAACACGUGGUAAGCACUGACUCGGGAUGAGGUUAUUAACUCCUCUUUGGACCCGCUCGAGUCUAGACCCAGAGAAAUCAUCAAGAAACAUGCAAAAUCGACCACAUCAACUUACUCAAACUCAGCGUGCAUAUGGGCUGACAAAAGGAACAAGACAUGGCUUCCGGUUAGACCAAAACAAGGUGGAGCAGCAAGGGUUCAUGCGAACAAGCAUCUCAUCACGGAGUUCCCUACCCAACUCGAAGACGGCAGGAAGCGGGCCAACUCGCGACAAAUCGAGCUAUAGCUCGCCGCUUUGGUAUCUUCGAGCUGGGACCCUAAUCGAAAUGCAUCCAUUUGUCUCAUGCACUAUGGGGAUCCUCGGGCAAGAGAGGUUUGAACCGAGUAAAGAAACUCACCAGCGACGCCGAGAUUCGGGGGCGAAAGAUCGUAUGCUAGAGGAUAUUGGCCAGAGGUCGUCGAAGACGGUUCGAGCGUGGCCGACCUGCUACAAAACUUCUCCCUCGCUUUUGUGCUGGUGUUUUCUCCGUUGCUCCUUCUGCCAAGCCCCCCGCUCCCUCUGUUCUUCUCCUGUUUUCUUUUAAAACUGCCGUUGGUUCAUUUCCCUUUGCCUCCGUCCAAAAUGCCUUUUGCUAGUCCACGAAGCCAGCUCUCUUUCUUUUCCAUCUUCAGCUCUAAUUUUCCUCGGUCAGUCCAGCCUCCUUGCCUCUAUGUAUGCCUGCAGCCGGUCUUCUCCUUGGGACCGAGUUCGGUCUAUUUUCAGCUACAACGGCUGCUGGUUUUCUUGGGCUUCGUCAACUGCAGGCGCUGCCACGCUGCAGCCAAGCUUUCAUUGCUUCCAUUUUUCUGAAAUCGCACUUGCCGAUCCUCUGCAGAUCCUUCUUCGGCUUCCUCCUGUUCUGUCUUCUACAGGUCCUGCGCGAAGAUUGGAGGAGGGAGAAGGAUGGGGCGCGGGCUGGGCCGACGGGGGGAAAGGAGGCUGGGCCGCGGGGGGAAAAGAAAUAUAAAAAAAAAAAAAAAUUCUUGAUUUUUUUAUUGACUUUUCGAUUGAUUUUUUUUUUUUUUGUAAAAAUAGGUAUCAACAAUGUUUUUGAUACACAAAAUACUAUCUCUUCAAGAGCUUUGACUCCUAUAUACUUGGGGCAUUAAAUUUUUUUAGCAACAAUGAGCUUGGCAUAUCUCUGUUUUCGGGAUUUCAGUUGCUAAGGGAAACAAAAAGGACGACCUCUAAUGAAUCGACAGUAUUUUGCUAUAACAAACUUGGAAGAGAGAUGAGUGUCUUACGUAGUUACAAAAAAAUGAUCAUGCAAUAGUUGGUAGAAAUUUACUCUGCUGACAUGCAUGAACAUUCUGAAAAAAAAACGGAAAACGUGCAUGAAUAUUUCCGGCCAGAAAGCAUUCACGAGGAGCUGAGAGACACUAUUUCUUAAAGCAGCAAAAUGAUUACAAGUUUGUUCUUUUAGGGAGUGGAAUGAAUAAAUUGUACAAAAAAUCCUAAACUUAUUGUCCGAUCACUAAUUUAAUUCUGAACUUUUUAAUUUGAUCAAUGUUGUCUAAAACUUUUGACAAUUUUUUGUAGUCCACCUAGUUAAAUUUAGGUCAAAAAUCAGUGACAGAGCAAUUUAGUAAACACUAACCGUUUUAAGUGAUACAACUGAUAGCUUAUAUAGAUGACUUAAAUGAGGUAGCGUCAUUUCACAAUUUUUUUUUUAAUAUUCUUUCUUUUCUUCUCUUUUAGUAAUUUUUUUCCUAUUCUUUCGUUCUCUAGUGUUCUUUUUCUUCCCUCUACUGGUGGCCGAUGCCUCAGCAAUGACCAGGGACCAUCAUAGGCUACAAGUGAGGGCAUUGAGCAAGACUUACAAGCCUUCUCCUAGAUUUGUGCAAGGGCCCUAUAGGCCCUCACUGGCCAUAGGCAAUUGGGGACUUGCAAGCCCUUGCCUAGAUCUACCCUCGCAUGGGGUCAAUGUUUACCAUCACCAAGGCCUCAAUGUCUUGCUCAAGAAAGAAAAUGAACAGCAGAGAAGGAGAUGAUAGGAAAAGAAAGAAAAAAGAAAAAAAGAGGAAAGGAAAAAAGGGAAAAAAUCUGAAAUAAUAACAAAAAAUUGCAAAAUGACGUUUCAUUUAAGAUCAUCCAUGUCAAUUGCGAAUCAUGCAACGUGGCCUACCUUGUUGGAUGCAGUAGAUUUAGGAUAUUUUGAAUAUUUUUCUCUUGUUAAAUAUGCCUGAUUUAUUUGAUAUCCUAAAAUUUGUCAACUUUGUGAAAUCAAGUUCUAAAAUUUGUUGGCAUUUUUUUCAUAUUGGAUGAAGUUAAUGAAAUGACUUGAUUACAACUACUUGAUAAGUUUUAUAACUUGAUUGUAAUUUUUGAAAAUUGUAGGACUCAGUUGCAUCUCUGUAAUAAGUUUUAAAACUUGAUUACACUAUAUGUAAUAAAUUUUAAGAUUUUCAGUAUAUUUAUCUCUAAAAUAAAUAAAUAAAUAGGGCCUACCCCCUUUACAUGAACUCUUUAAUUUAAACGCACCAUGGAAUUUCCUGUCCUUUUACACUGUUUCAUUAACUAAGAAAUUUUUUUUUUUUUGGGGUUAAAACCAAGAUUUAAUUCUUUCUUUUUUUUUUCUUUUGGACGAGCCAAGAUUUAGUUCAAAGAUAGAUAUUUCCAGGAGAAAAAAUUUCAGCAAACUAUGCAAGGAUUUGCAAAAGAUCGCAACAAUAUUACCGGAAGCAUAUAAUUAUUUAUCACUGACAAAUGAUAUAGUAAAAAUUCUUUUAGUAGUUUACCUUAAGUUUAGCAAGAUCUGCUUAUUCGGCAGCCUUGAGUUUCUUCGAUUCCUUCUCUCUUGCCUUCAAACAGAUAUAGAAAUGCAAUGCAGAAUAUCAAGACAAAUUGCCAUUGACAAAGCUGUAAAAGCCUACUCAAUCGAGCAAAACUGGGACAGUUUUUCCAGUGAUCUUGACCACCUCCGCAGCAUGCCGUGGAAAUAGAUAGGAACACAUGCAGAGGGACAAGCUGAUUAUUACUUGCUUUUAGUCAAGCAUUCGAAACUGUAAGAUUCAUGCACUAUAAGAUAGCCAGACAAGCGAAAAAAUGAUGGGCAUUUCAGUUGAGGUGUCAAGAGCAAUUAGAUUGAAUUCAAACCAAAUAAAGCUUGACGCAGAAAAGAGAAAUGUUGUGCAUUGAGCGAAUAUAUGACAAAAUAAGUGCAAAGAGAGUCAUGGAUGUUCUAGCGCUUUGGCCAAUUGAGUUCUUAAAAUUUUACUUUGCUUAAUUGAAUCCUCAGCAUUUUCAAUUUCAGUCAAUUGAGUCCCUCAACCUUGAUCCUCGGAAAUAGUCACAUGGCUAUGAUUUUCCAAGUUGAUAAGAAGAUGCUCGAGAAGACAAGCGGGUAGGAGGUGAAAUGGGACCUAAGUGUAAGUUUUACUAUUUCAAUAACUACAACUGAUCUGACAGAAGAUUGAACUUUCAUGGAUCUGGCACUUCGUUUGAAGCUAUACAAACAGAAAUCAGCGGGCUCAAGAACCCAAUCUUUUAGAUAGUUUCUGAAUUAUCACACAGAAAAGCACUAGGAUAUCUUUACGCAUUCACUUAUUUCCUCUGUAAACUCACAGUUAUUAAAGUAUAUUAGGCAUCAUUUAUUUGUAGUACAUUAGGUACAGAUGUCCUCUCUUUGAGAUUCCCUCUUUUCCUCUUCUUACGAUCAGCUUUGCCAGAAGAUGUUUCCAACUUCCGACAUUGAUGAUGUCAUUUCAAGGAAUUCUCAAUGUUGAUCACAAAUCAGUACUUAACAUCUCUCUUGAUGAGCCCCUCAAGGGCUUCAUAGGCAUAAUCGAUUGGUAUCACUUCGAUUUCUUGGUAUAUGUGCUGUGCCGCACAGAGGUCUACCAUUUCUUGGAUAUACUUCAUUCCUCCAAUAGCGCUACCCAAAACUGUUUUCAAAACUGCAAAAAGUUCACUGUGAGCAACUUAGUUGGUUCGCCUAUCAUGUAUCAAUAUUUCAUUCAGUAAUGAGCUUUGAGAACAAAAACAUACCAAGGUUAAGGCUUGCCGCACUGAAUGUAAUUUCGCUUUGGGACGCAACCAAUGCUAGAACCCAUCUUCAAAAGAGACAUGUAAGGAUCAAAUAGGUGAUUAGCAGAUGCCGUGUCAAUUAUAAAGUCCAUGGACUUAGCCAUGGCCUGCAUGUAUUGGAAUCAUCAGAUCACGGCAGCACUUGACCUCCAUGGAUCCAAAGUAUUGAUAAUUCCAAAUCUUCCCAUUUGCCUUCAUCUGAAAUGGUCAGCACCAAGCAAGCUCAGUGCUUCCUCCUUUUUAGAAAUGCUUGUACUAAACACAGCGACUUUCAGUCUAAAAGCCUUCCCAAGUUUAAUUGCCACGUGACCGAGCCCACCGAGUCCAAUUACGCCGAGAGACUUACCCGGUUGGUUCAUCUUGUGACGCACCAUUUGAGUGUAUACUGUGAUUCCAGCACAGGGCAAUGGUGCUGCUAAAGCCAAUGGGUAGUUUUCUGGAAUCCUGAAGCAGUACCUGUCAAUGAAGCACCACAAUUAAGUUUCCAAAUCACACCAAAGGAGUAAGGGAUUUCCCAAUAGAAUCAGCAUCCCAUCUUUUUUGUAUAACAGGAUUCAAAUCACAUUUUACUUGCUUAGAGCACAAUUCAGCAUCAUGUGGUUUCUGUGAUUCUUUUUCUGACCACAAAUUGCUUAAGACGAAAACUUCUUGUUGUAGCGACGAAAGUAAAGCCACUGCAACAUAUAGGAGGCCAUACUCGAUCAAAAUUGAGAAAAGAGGCUUGCUCUUAACAGAGGACACUGGAAGCAUAUUGCAUGUGCAUGACAGAUCAUGUAAUUUCUCUAUUCCCCUCAAUCAUGUCUCUAAGGGACACGAUAUUCCCGCGACUGUUGGAUACAAGAAUUCGUGAAAGCACGUAAAUUUUAUUACCCAUUUGAUCUAACACUUACUAUCUAACUCUUGGAAACAAUCUACAAAAAAGGGAGGAAGAGGAGACAGAAGGCGAGAAUUGAGCAAUUUCCAUCUCUCUCUCUUUUAAUUAAGGGUUAAUAUCCUAAAAAAUCCCAAACCGGUACACGUGACAAAUUUACCCCGAUGGACUAUAAAAAAAACCCUAAACUUAUAUAUUUAUGACAAAUUUACCCCAAACUAAUUUAUUCGACGGCAAAAAACCCGAAAAUGGUAAAUUUGUGACAAAUAUACCAUCUGCUAAACUGAAUUAAUAUCACAAAAAAAUCACAAAAAUUGUAAACUGUGACAAACGGGGCGUAAAAUUUCAAAUUGGUAUACUAGUCAACUGUCACGUGUCAUUUAACUUAAUAAUUUGACAGUAAAAUUUAACGAAAACUAACAGAGGGUAAAUUUGUCACAAGUAUAACAGUUUAGGGUAAAUUUGUCAAAUGUAUACCAGUUAGGAGUUUUUGGUGGUUAAAAAAAUAGUUUGGAGUAAAUUUGUCACAUGUGUAUCAAUUUUGGGUUUUUUAGGAUAUUAACCAUUUAAUUAAUUUAGUUUUCAAUUUUAUUUUAUUAAUUUUUCAUGAAAAAAUCAUAUAUUAGAUUUAUUGGCUCACAUGUCAUUGUCACUUGAUGUGUAUGAUAUAUAGAAUAGUCCAAGAAAUUUGACUUUAGAUACUUGGGAACCCGUGAAUGGUCAUACAUUGUCGGUUACACAUUCAACAUGAUGUAUUAGCUAAUCAUAGUCCUCUAACGGUUUAUAUUUGCUUAAUAUAUUUCAAGAAUAUUCAUUUGUUAGACUUGUCUGCUCACACGCCACUGUCACUUGAUGUAUAUGAUAUGCAGAAUAGUCUAAGAGCUUUGACUUUAGAUACUUGGGAGUGUCUAUGCUUGUUUUAUGUCUGUUAUGCUUGCAAUGCUUCUUGUUUUGAGUGGACAGUACAAAUAUUUAAGUCCGUGUCAAUUUGAACAAUUUUCUUUAUUAUAGAGCAACAAUCUUUAAUCUAUUGUGUUCUUGACCACAAAAAACCAAAUAACAAAUAAGUAUAAACUAUUGUAGGGUCCAACGACAAUCUUUAAUCUAUUGUGUUCUUGACCACAAAAAAUCAAAUAAUAAAUAAGUAUACACUAUUAUAAGGCCCACUCCUUUAAAAAUUUGUUGCUCACAACAACUUAUUUAUUCUCAUAAUAACCCAAAGUUAUGCUAGCAAAGCUCUUUUUAGUAAGUGUAUUGAAAGUUUUAAAAACUUGUCACUAAAGUGCAUUGAGUCCUAAAAUUUUCAAAAAAAUGCAAUUUAAUCUUAAAAUUUGUCAUGAAAUGCAACUGAGUCUUAAAAUUUUCAAAAAGUACAAUCAAUUAUAAAGAUUUAUCAAAAUUGGUCCAAUUUAAGUCAUUCCAUUGAUUGUAAUUUUUGAAAGUUUUAGAGCUCAACUAUGCUUUCCUAACAAAUUUUAGGACUUAAUUAUACUUUUUGAAAAUUUUAGAACUUAACUGUAAUUUAUGAUAAGUUUUAGGAUUUUUAGUAUACUUAUCUUUUUUUUUUUUUUCACCUCAUUAAUCUUUUUAGCAACAAUGAGCUUGACAUGUCUCUGUUUUCAAGAUUUCAGUGGCUAGGGAAAACAAAAGGGAUGUCCUCUAAUGAAUCAACAAUCUUCCUGCCAUGACAAUGCCGGAAGAGAGAUGAGUGUCCUACAUAUUUAUCAAAAAUGUUCAUGUUAUAAUUGGUAGGCAUUCACUCUGCCAACGUGCAUGAACAUUUCCGGAGAUGAAACAUUCGUGAGGAGCCAGUAAAGACAUCCUGCUAUUUAAACCGGCAAAGGGAUAUCAAGCUUGCUCUAUUGGCAAGUAUAUUGUCGUCAGAUCAGCCUAAUUAAUCCGAUAUUUUUUCAUACAAAAAAUCGUCAUCGAGGCCAACUUAAUCCAAAAUGCCAAUGGACAGGCUUUGGUAAGCUAGUGGAUAGGUAUGCCGCUUUAUCUUAUGUCGUGCUAUCUCACGAGAGAUGGUGCUGCGUUCUCUUUAGAAUGCACAUGACUUGGGAUAGGAAAACCUUAGGAUCCGACUAGGAGGAAGGAAAAAAGCAAUCUAUUGUCGGGCCAAUACAAGAUCAUUUCAUGUCAAACUCCGCAGUCUUGAGGCCAUGGAAUCUACGACAAACUUGCUCAUUCACAAGGACUGAGCAAAUAAAUGAUAAAAUAAGAGCAAUAGUCGUCAUUGAUCGUCUACCCUUUGAUUGAUUGGAUUCUAAAUAUUUUAUUUUCAAUUGGGGUCUAAAUAUUUUAUUUGAUUCAAUUGACUUCUAAACAUUUCCAAUUUUAGUCAAUCAAGUCCCUCGAAUAUUAACCGCGGAAAGAGGCACAUGGCUGUGAUUUUACAAGUGGCUAAGGAGAUGCUUGAGGAGAAAACCUGUUAGGAGAGGCGAAACCAUUCCAGCAGAACUCUCAAGAAGCCAAUUUUUCAGACAGUUUCUCAAUCAUCACAUAGAAAAGUACCAGGAUUUCAUUACCCAUUUCACUUAUUUCUGCUAUAAAACUCACGAGUAUCGAAGUAUAUCAGGCAUAGUUUAUUUGUACUCCAGCAGAACAACUAAAAAGGCACAGAUAAUGCUCUCCUCUAGCUGAAACUCCCACUUUUCCUCUCUGUGUGAUCAGCUUUGCCAGCAACAAUUUCCAACUACCCAAAUUGAUGUUGAAAUUUAAUCAAAUAGACUCAGAGAAGAAAACCCGCAAGAGAAUUGUUGCUGUAACUUUCGUUAAGAAAACCCACACGAGAAUUGUUGCUGUAACUUUCGUUAUUUUAUUCAUCAGAACAUAAGCCUAUUAAAUAGGCAGAACAUCCAAACCACUUAGCAAGAAAAUAGCUAUAGAACAACAACAACAAAGACCCACUAACAUACCCCACUAACCAGAACAUAUGCAGAAACUAACUCCUAAAAACAAGCCACUUCCUAUUGACUAGGACUCCACUAUUACAUUAUUGAAGACACAUAAAAACAAAGUUAACUACUUCAACAAUUGAUGGUGUCACUUCAAGGAGUUCUCAAUGUCGAUCACGAAUCGAUACUUAACAUCUCUCUUGAUGAGCCUCUCCAGAGCUUCGUUGGCAUAAUCGAUCGGUAUCACUUCGAUGUUUGGGUAUAUCUUCUGUGCUGCACACAGGUCUAUCAUUUCUUGGGUAUCCUUUGUUCCUCCCGUUACGCUACCUGAAACAGUUCUCAUAUCUGCCAAAAGUUCACCGCAAGCAACUUAGUUCACCUAUCAGGUAUAAAAUUUCAUUUAGUAAUCAGAUUUGAGAACAAAAACAUACUGAGGUUAAGGCUGGCUGGACUGAAUUUAACUUCGCUCAGGAAGCCGACCAAUGCUAGAAUGCCACCCGUCUUCAAAAGAGACAUGUAAGGAUCAAAUGGGUGAUCACCGGCUGCCGUGUCGAUUAUAAAGUCCAGGGACUUAGCAAUGGCCUGCAUGCAUUGGAUUUAUCAGAUCACAACAGAAUUUGACCACCAUGGAUCUCAAUGUGGAUAAUUCUAGUUUUUCCUCUUUUUACCUUCAUCUGCUCUAGGUCAGAUGAGAUAACGAAAUGGUCAGCCCCAAGCAGGCUCAGUGCUUCCUCCUUUUUAGAAAUGCUUGUACUGAACACUGUGACUUUCAGUCCAAAAGCCUUCCCAAACUUAACUGCCAUAUGACCGAGCCCGCCAAGUCCAAUUACACCUAGAGACUUACCAGGUUGGUUCAUCUUGUGACGUAUCAUUGGAGUGUACACCGUGAUUCCAGCACAGAGCAAUGGCGCUGCUAGAUCCAUCGGGUAGUUUUCUGGAAUCCUGAAGCAAUACCUGUCAAUGAAGCACCACAAUUAAGUUUCCAAAUAACACCAAGAGAGGAAGUGAUUUCCCAAUAGAAUCAGCAUCUUGUCUUUGUUGUCUAAAAGGAAUCAAAUCACAGAGCCAGAAAUCCUAUCUUCUGCAUGCUUGGGAAUUUUACUUGCUUAGACCACAAUUCAGCAUCAUGUUGUUUCUGUGAUCCUUGUUCUGACCACAAAUUGCUCUAGACAAACAUUUCUUGCUGUAGCAAUGUAAAUAAAGCAAUUGCAGAAUACAGGAGGCCACACUCGAUUAAAAUUAAGAAAAGACACUUGCUCUAAGAAAGGAAACUGGUGGCAUAUCACAUAUGCUUGACUGAACACGUAAUUUCUCUAUUUCCUUCAAUCAAUUUCUCCAAGGGACACAAGAUUCCUGUGGCUCUAUCAGAUACAAGAAUUAGUGAAAGCACAUACAUUUAGCUACCCAUUUGAUCUGAUACUUAUGAUCUAACUCUAACAAUCUAAGGACAGCUUAUUCCAUUCCUGACAAUGGUUAUUGAAAAGAAAGAAUUUCUUUUUGCAUUUAAUAAAGCCAAUUCUCCAUUGAAUGGUUUGAAUGGUAAUUAGAUACAAAGGACUUAAAGACUCUCCAGAGCCGUUAUAGAAAGUAUCUUUAUCCCUUUCCACAAGAUGCAAUUAAUACCUAAAAGCCAUUCCUCACAGUCCUAUGCAUUAUGCCACUUCUGGUCACAAUCAGAAAUUCAGAAUACAAAGAAAAUUAGCAGAGAAGAAGACAUGACAUGAAAUCUUUUUUUGGCCACCAUGAUUUGGAAUUCUGUCACAGUGCAAAAUGCUGCCUAAUAACGCUGUGUCAAUAAGCAAUUACCUUUCAUGGAUGACAAUGUGACUAGAAUAUCCUCCCUUUGUGACUGUACCGUCCGCAUCGAUUCCAUCAAAAGUCAAAACCGCCUUUUCACAUUGGGUUUCUAGCCUGUCAUUGCAAUACUCACACUCUCUGCAUGAAUUGACAUAAGUUCCCACCCCCACAUGAUCGCCAACUUUGAAGCGUUGGACACUGGAGCCAACCUGUUUCACAAUUCCAACUAUCUCGUGCCUGAAUCAAUCAAAAAAAUCAUUUGCAAAUUUUGUUCAGAGAAUUAUGAGGAUGGUGCUAAGAAAAAAAGAUUAACAUUUGAAUCACGCUGCAUCCUACCCUGGCACCAGAGGAUACUUGGAGUGUCCUUGCACAUUCCUAGUCCAAGCCACAUCUGCAUAGCACACUCCACAGUGCGUGAUCUUAAUCGAGACGUCUUCGCUUCCCACGGCCCUAAAGAGAUGAUUCCCAAACAGGUGAGCAUAUAAUCCAGUGACUAAUCAGACUAGGGUACCUUUUUUUUUCCAUUUUCAAGAUCAACAAACUAAGCUUGACCUACGAUUAUCGAGAAAACAAGAAACCAGAAAUGAGAAAAGGAAAAAUUCCAUGACUGCAAGCAUAUUUGUCCAUACGCUAGAUACAACCUCAAAUGCUCAGAAAGGCAGCCAGUACAGGAUCCUCAUGUCUGCCAUGAAAUUCUGAGUAACCCAUUACCAACAAUUCUCGACCCAGAAUUCAGCGCAUACACAACAAAAGAAAGAACGAAAAAAUGAAAUGGUCUGGACCGAAAACUGUCUCGCGUGAACACUGUACUGAGACUCUCGCAUGAACACUUUCGGUAGAAAUCGAAAAAGAAAAAAAAAUGGCAAUACCUGCGGGUGAAUUUGUAGGGGGAGAGGAACCCAGAAGGGUCCCGGGCAGCCCAACCGAGGCAAUCCUCCUUCCCACCCUCCGAGCUCAUCUUCUGUACCUACACACCCAGCGAAGCAAUCACACAAAUGGGUACGGUUAGAUUCAUCCAAAGGAGAAGAAGAAAGGGUGAGAACUCGAACGAGAAAGUGCCCAAGAUCAGAGACUCAACGGGUCAUCACUCGGCGAGGACUCGAGUCACAACGAGCUCGCCAUCACUCACCAACUCACUCACUCACCCACACCCACCUACCCAAACACAACCCCACGGGCCACAGCAACUCAGAGAGAGAGAGAGAGAGAGAGAGAGAUGACUACGGAGAUGGAGAUGAAGAGAGGUUACGCUGUGGAGUAUGCAGGAGCGCGAAGAGGGUGACGAGCCGAGCACAGUCGAGGACGGGAGGUUCAACGAAGACUUUUUUGCCCCCUCCUACUUCGCAGGAAAGCUGCGAGUAAUCCGAUGGAUUUUAUAGCGUUGGCCCGAGAUAGUUACGAAAAUAUUGGAAGGAAAAAUUAUCCGAAACUUUAACUCAACAUGUACCGUGAUCUAUAAGGAAAAAUAUAGUAUAUAGAAAUGAAAGAUGAGUAGAAAAAGAAAUGGACGAUUGCUGUCAAAUUAAAACUAUUCCCAAGUCAACUUGUCGGUCCCUUUCCUUCCAUUAUAAUCCUUUUUUAUAAUGUAACUGAAGAUUACUGGCUUUGUCACAACCAACGUAAACCCUCCAAAAGGUAAAAGAACUUAUGCAAAAGUAUAAAAAUGAAAGAUGUGUUGAAAAAAUGAGGACAAUAACCAAACGCGUGCAACUCAAUUGCACUUUUCGAUAAGGAUAAACUGUACCUCUCCUCAUCAUUGAAAGAGAUGGGAUUAAAUGCCUCUCCUCAUCAUUGAAAGAGAUGGGAUUAAAUGCAGACGUGAUUGACAUAGAGAUUAUCACAAGAAAUUAAAUAAAAAUAAGUCUUUCUUGGUAACGAGAUGUUUGUUCUCGUGACCGUGUAGGUCUUUCUAGGUUCUCUGACGCGUGCCAUGAGGUCAUGGCAUGUUAUGCAACCAAAUAUAUCCAUUCUAUAUUUCUAUGGUAACUAUCCAUCGUUACCUCCUGUGAACCUAAGAAGAACAAAACCAAUCCAUAAAGCUGUGGAGGAUCAAGAACAACCUGCCAUAAGUUAUUGAUGAACUCAGUUAAUUGUUCGAAGCCUUAGAAGCGAAUCAUUAAAACUUUAAGCAACUAAAAUGUCAGAUGCCAAACAGAAGGAAAAUCUACAGAGCCAACAUCUGGAUCGGAUCAAUGAUGGCAUAUCAACAACUAAGGGAAAAAUCUGCUACUAAAUAUUUAUCUGAAACUAGAGGAUGACGUUGCACUUGCAUAACUCCGUUAACGCAGAUCAAUGGUCAUGCUCUGUCUAGCUUUGUUAGAAGUUUGAAAACUCUACACGGACAGGCACUAUUUGCAAGAAGACGUGUUCCCUAUGCUCAUCUUUGUACUGAGCUGGAAAUGCUUUUAGCAGAUAGCUGUGCCUCCAGAAACAAAUCGCAUGAAGUGGCCCACAAUUCUCUGGCAAGUCCGGUGUCGUACGAAACUGAAGAAGAGUUGAUAGUCCGGCCCCUCCCACCAAAGAAAUACACACCAGAAAUUUCCUAUUUUUGCAAGACAGCGGCUAUUAGUAAGCACUGUUCCAACAUAUAAUAGCAGCCACAUAAGAUUGAUACCAUAGAUUAUCAGCAGAGAAGGGAAAAUCAAUUCUGGAAACAUACUGUCAUACCGUAGAAUCAACAUUAAUGGAUUUUACGUCCAAUGUUAGUGUGACCUCAGUUGAGGAUAAAACGAGAGAGACUCAUUCAAGAUGGUUCAGAUAAGUGAAGCACCAGUACAGGAAUGCUUUACACCAGCCUAUUUAGUGGGAAAAGAUCACUAUCACCCAUAAAUGCAGCUGUGGUUGCCUAUUGAGAUGAAACCCAGGUGAUUUCAUUGCAGUCCCAUCUAGCAUAUAGCAGAAAUUAAAGAUAAUGAUUGCAGUCAGAAAAACUCACAGGAGGGGCAAGGGCUGCAUCCAGAACUGAGUUGACCGCACCUUCAGGUGAAUCCAAAAGACCCAUUGCAGUUAAAAAUGCAAAAGCUGUGUAGGACAGGUAAGGGGGAACUUCUCGCAUGAUACUGGUUUUCACUACUCCAGGAUCCACAGCACUGGAAAUAAAAAAGAAACAGGAUAACAUCUCAAUUGUGCUGCCAGCAUGUAUUCAUACACAAAACUUUAGAGAAAGACAAUCUACAAAGCCUAAGUACAUUUUCUUGUUUAUAAUCAACUAGUAUAGUAUCUCUGAUAACAAAAACCAGGUUUUCAACUAAAAAGGGAUAGCUCAUAGAUUUGUGGAAAGUGGUAAGUGGAAAGUUCAAAUUCAACUACCAUACAAACUUAAGGGUGAGAUUACACUGUCCUACAAGAAUGCUUAAAUCCAGAGUGGCAGGAUUGUUGAUACAUACAGAAUGGAAACAUGACAGGAGCUUUCCAAGCGAAGGCGUCGAUGAAGUUCAUAUGAGAACAGCAGAAGGCAUACUGUAAACAAACAGGAAACUCUUACUAAAGUUUGUGAGAAGAUGUGACAUUUGCUUCUCAAAUAUUGCUGUAUCUUUUAUUCUAUCCUUUCCUUUUUGGUGCUAGGCUUCUCGAAUAAAACAUGAAACUUACAUUUUGAAUAACCAUAGAUCUGUGCACAUGGAUACUGUUUCAUCCUGAAGGAACUCUUCCCAAUAACACUUUCCUUGUCAAAUGUCGCACCACAUACUGAAGAAGAGGAGAACCGAGGAAAAGGAGAUUUUAAAUAAAUAAAUAAAAACUAUGACUCUAAACCUAGUAUAACAAUUGCACUAAAACAGAAACUGCACAGAGAAGUUGGACAGCAAGAAACUACAAGCAAACAAUACCAACUAUUUGACAUCAUAAAAGAGUUCUGUAACUUAGACAUUGAGUACAGCUAUAUUGCAUGUUCUAGUUUUAGCUUGCUAUCUCAGGCACUGUUAAAGUCCUAGAUGGGCACCAUAUUUAGUUCACUAAUUGAAUGAAAAAAUGACAUGCCAUAAGGGUCAGCAAGCCCGGGUUUCACAGAGGAACCUCCUUGCAGGCUGGCCACCGGCUGCAAUCAGUGUUCCACAGAUAAAUGGAAGUGUUUCUGACCACAAAGUGAAAAUAUCUUACCGCUUCGAUGUGUAAAGGACGUGACAUUGACUAUCCGGGAUGGAACAGGGCUGUUUCUGAGAAGUGGUAAUAAAUGCUUUGUCAAAAAGAAUGGUCCCAUGUAGUUCGUUGCCAUCAUCCUGGUGCAUAAAGAGGUGGAGAGAAGAAUCAACAGGAGAUCAGGCAACAAUGCAUUAUGAAAGACUGCAAUUAAUAAAUUCCAUUCCAAAAAGAGAAAAGCAAAACAGUGGGAGAUGCCACUUGCUACCGUGGCAACAAAUCUCCACAAGUAAACUACAAGUUGACAAGGUAUAUAGGAAAAUCAAAAUCACUAGAACAUUAGACUUUCAAUUGGGAAAGUGACGACACUAUUAUCGUUACUUAUUUAGAAAUUAGAACAUAUGCAUCUCAUUAGUUAAAUCUAAAACAACAGAAUAUAUAUUCUCCACUGUGACUGCUGUAGUGUUUAGAUUGCCAAAUAUUUGGAUCUUUGGAAAGAAUAUUGCAAAAAAAUUCCCAUGGCAAUAAGAUAAUUACUCAUCGAAGCCUUCAGCUGUAAUUCUGUAGGAUGUUGCCAACAUUCCAGCAUUAUUUAUCAGAAGCUGGACUGAGGCAUGCAUAUUUGAUUCCAACAGCCAUUGCUCAAGGGAGCAUCUGAAGUGUAAGAUUGACUCGAUAGAUGAUAUAUCAGCUUGAAAAGCUUUAAGAUGGGCAUCCUUAUUGUGUUUACAAAUCUCUGCCACUCUCUGUGACCCAAAAAAAAAAAAAGAAUCAUUGAGAGCAUCAUGUAGAGCAAAGAAGCUAAAACGGAUGCCGCACAACAAGUACCUCUGACAACCUGUGAGCAGACCGUCCAACUGCAGAGAAAGCAUAAAUUUCAGUUAAAUAAUUGUACCUGCAUGGAUCAAAACUCAUUCUUCUUGUAACAAAGAAAAGAUGCAUUUUGCAUUAACUCUAAGGACAACAAACAGUCAUUCGUACAUUAUUUGUCACAUUAAGCAAUUGACAAGCUUUUCUCUUUGCUUGAAUCACCAAGUAAAGACCAGAGAACAUUCAUAUAUCUACCCAUAACUCUUCCUAUGAGAGUGUUCAUCACAGACUGGUGGCAUUUAUGUAGACAGCCUAUUUUUUUUUCCUCCUAAUGUAGCUAUCAUCAGGAUGAUCCAGCACAAGCAAUCACAGAAAAUCCAGGCAUGGGGUUGAACUAAGUGUUGCUACAUCCAUAUCAAAGGAAUGAGGAGGAUAAACCACAGACUGCGACAUUACCAAGGACAACAACGAAACCUUCUUUUGAAAGAGCAUAAGCAGCCGCUGCACCCAAACCAGAUGUAGCCUGCAGGCAAAAGGCAGAGAAAGCUCUCAGUAGGAUAAUCUAAUUGAGGACAUUUGCUACUAGCAAAAGAAAUCCGUCUUACGCCGGUGAUAAUGCAGAGAGGUCUCAGAGGAACUUCUAUGUUGGCAUUUCGAGGGUAUGAAACAAUUCGACCAAAAAGACCACGGCUGAAGAAUUGCCAGUAUGAGGCCAGCAAAGAGAACGUCCAAAGUACUGCCAUUAUCCAGAAGUCUACUGUACAAAUGAAACAAAAAGCCUCGACCAACUCCUUUGACAUUAUUCUCAUCUUUGCCACCAUGGACUUCUUACCUGUGUUGGCAAAGUGAAAACAACAAAACAAAUUCAGGAUACUAAUAAAUCCAACAGAAAAGUAUAUGCGCACGGUAAAGUCCUAAAGUUUAUUGGAUUAGGUAGUGGAACUCGAAUUUAAAUCAAGUGAAUGUCACAAUUAAGUACUGGAGAGACCCAAUCUACGGAGAAAACACGCACCCUUACAUGACCAGUGCAGCAAAAUGAGUGCCUUGUUAUUUGACAGUCAGAGUUGAGACCUCAGUGUUCAGUCUACAGGAAAAGUUUUAGCAACCUCGAGAGAGGUAAGAACUAGGCAGAUCUCACUAUGCAACCAUAAAUCAACUAACUUCAGGUGUACUUUCAAACAAAUUCUUUGACCAAGCAUCUGAGGGAAAUCAACAAUACAGAGUUCAACAUUCUAGUUCGUAAAUACUUUGGCCUUUUCAUUGUCAUGUAUGAAUGACGGUUUCCCUAUUGUUUAGAAUGUACAGCUUUGAAGUGUCUUAAUGCCACCUUGUCUUCCCACCACAGCAAACACAGACCCAGGUAAAGGAAUCAAAUGUUAAAUCCAGUCUUAAUAAAUUUACACAUCACAACACACAACCCAGUGAGCUUACUUCAUCGGUUAGAGUCACCAUGCUCACCCAGAGUAACAAGCACACCAUCAAAAGUAAGAUUAACAGAGAUAGCAAAUGAUAUAGCUUGUUUCAAAAUGAAAUUCUGUUCAUUUCCAAGCUCCAGACUUUCCACAUCAAAGCUUGACGUCUACUCACCCUAAACAGACGCAGCUAUAAAAUUAUCAUCUACCAGCAGAACUCGUGAAAUUCCACACAAUUCAAACGGGCCUACACGCACGUCACCGACCUAGACACGUUCCCUAUUAAACAUUAAACAAUCACCACCCCAAAUCAUCUCCAAGCUCAACGUCCUCACCAUGCAACAGCUCCAGAGCUCCAAAAAGACCCAACAAGUUUUUCGCCAACCUUCACGUCAACUCAAGCUCCCCCGCUCACUUCCUCCCUGACAAUACACACCCCCCACGAAGCGCGCUCUAAGAAGCAUUACGUCAAACACAUUGGGGACAUCGAAACUCCGGGCAGAGUUCUCCCACGAACCCAACGCAAAUGGGCAUCCACGAAAACAGGAACUUGCAGAGAGGCGAACGCGGGCGCUCGUGCAGAUCACUGUAAAGCUAUUGCAACGAAACGUGAAGGGUUGCGCCGGAAACGAAAGGGCGACUCACGGGGAACGUGAAAGGGUCGAAGGAACGAAGGAAGGCGAGAGCAGAGACGGGUCGCCUCGACUCGACACGGUUCUCGUCGAAACCAGGAGAGUCUUGAGAUUGACUGGAGGAAAAAUCCGAGCUUUACAAAAAGUUAGAUGCAGGAUGAGACGAACAUCCGGUUCUUCAACCCGAGUAAAAGCGUUGACACUAAGGGCAAACUUUUCCUUGCAUAUUAGGGAGAAUUAAGUGGGAAAUUUUCGUUUAUCGAAUUCGCCAACAUGUUUUCCAAAAAAAAAAAAAAGGAAAAAAAGAAAUCACUAACGUAAUUUCAUUCACUAUCACCCCUUUUGAAAAAUCAAAUCCAUGCAUGGGACCGAUUAAAUUUCAUUCGUCAAUCAGUACUCUUUUGUAUGAGAACUUGAAGAAAGAAUGACUCGCAAAAUACAUAAAAAAAAAUGGAACAUCACAAGAUAUGCAAAAAUUACUGUAAAAGAAUCAUAGAUUACAUGUUCUAACAAAAAGGAAUCAUUUAUUGCAUUUGUGUGAUGUAAACUAUACUGGAAUUAUUUCUUGUAAAUCUUGAGAGUGGUAGUAAUUGUGUCAACAUUUGGAAUCCUAUUAGGGAUAAAUAUAUUGAAAAUAUUAAAAUUUGUCACGAAGUUACAAUUUAACCCUAAAAUUUGACCAAAAAAAAAAUUCCAAUCAAAUUCUAAAAUUUGUUACAAAGUGUAAUUGAAUUUUUAAAACUUUUAAAAAGUACAUUCAAGUUCUAAAUUUUAUUAACAUUUUUCGUUUGUCAAAUUUGAUGGAGUUUAGGAAAAUACUUGAUUAUAUUAACUUGUCAAGUUGGCUUGGGCCAAGUUUGGCAUACCUAUAGUCCGUCGGAUCCAUGUUAAGGUCUACUAGCUUUGACCCUCCCUAGCUUUUGGGCUGGAUUGGGUCGCUGCGCCCAGCCCUUGCAGGAUCUCUCUCUCUCUCUCUCUCAACUUUCCCUAUGUGUUUUUUGGUUACUUUAACAUUUUUAUUUGUCUUUUGAAUUAAUGAUCUCACGUGGCAUGGUUCAAAUUACUGGGGUGUCAGAACCAAAACCAAAACUAAAAUCUAACCGAAAUUUCAUGCAUUUUUUAUUUGAUUUGGUUUUGGUUAGGAUAAUAGAAAGAUAACGGUUAUUUGUUUUCGAUUUGGUGAAUCGAACUGAAAUCCUUAAUACAAAUAAAUGCACAACUUAAAAUCCCUCCUUUUUCUCAUCUCUUAUUCUAUUUGAUUCCAAUGAGAAGGUAAAAAUCAAAAAACCAAAAACUGAAAACUGAAUUGAAAAUAAUCCAAUCGGAUUUUUAGUUCAGUUUGUAUUUGAUUCAGAUCGCAACUUGGUUUGCUUUAAUUACUUAUCUUAUCAGUUCGGUUUGGUUCGGACUUUAGGACAUUCGAACUAAAUCGAAACGUUGACGCCCCAUUAGCCACAUAGAUGAAGUCAUGUCUAUAAUUCAACAACGUUAAUUAUGAUGGUUGACGACAGAGUCAGCAAGAUGCAAAAGAUAUAGAAAUACAUCAAAAGAAGGAAAAAAUAGUUAGAGGACCCAAUCGCAGGAACAUCAGUACUAUAUCGAGAACAAAAAAUUGCUAUGAACUAAAUCAUACAUUAAAAGUAGGAAACAAGGAGAACUAACACGACCGUUAAUAGCAGCAUUGACAUCUAUGUCCAUGGAGAAUUUUUCUUACGCAACUACCACAGGUGGAUCCCAGCUAAUUUGCUGUCUAUCUAAUCCCGGGUGAAAACGGUCGGGCCUUGGUUCGGAGCCGUCGAGGACACACGACCAUCCUCAACGCUCCAAGCUCGUCCUCCUCCGGCGCAGUGGCUCGGCCUCAUAUCCUCUAAGCUUCACGGCUUUGUAAGUCACGGCGCCAGCUAUGGCUCCGAGCGGAGGAGCCACCAUGUACAUCCACAAUCCUUUGUAGUUCCCUGCGGCCACGGCCGGGCCGAGAGUCCUCACGGGGUUCAGGGAACCUCCGGUCGGCAUCCUGCAUUUCCCGGGAACAUUGUUAAGGAACAUUAUGAAAGCUAAAAUUCUGUAACAACGCGUCCAUACUUGCACGCCCGAAGGUGAGUAGUUUCAGUACAAUGCUUACCCUGUCACAAGAACGCCAAGCAGCACCGUUGCUCCGAUUGCAAUACCUGCCAAAUCUCCUACCUAUCAUCAGAAAAAAGGAACAAAUGUAAGUGAAAUGGAUACAUGCUGUAUACAGAUGCCACGAGUACAGAUAGAGGAAGAGUCGAUAUGCAGCAUGGCGACGUACUGCACGAGUGUCGGUCACCACCGCGACGAUCACGAACGCGAGAAUGAAAGUGGCGAGAAACUCGAGAGCAAACGCCUGUCCGAUGUCCACCGAAGGCACCGUGACGCCGCCGUUGGCAAAGGGAUGGAAAACGCCCUUGAGGACGUAGGAAGCACACAUCGAGCCCGCAACCUGCGCCGCGAUGUAGCCAGGCACCUGGAUCCAUGGAAAGUGCCAGAUCACCGCGAGGGCGACUGUCACCGACGGGUUCAGGUGGGCUCCUGAAAUGUGACCGAUCGAGAAAACUAUGAUCAUCACGGCGAGCCCAGCGCAUGCCGCGUUCCCAAGCAACGUCUCUGCUCCGUUGUACUUUUGGUUCACAAUGGGCCCGCCCACCGCGCAAAGUACUAAGAAGAAGGUUCCAACGAACUCUGCUCCGACCUGCAUCGUUCAUGUAAAUCUAAAUAAGAAAAUCUAUCCUAUCUUUCUUUCUUGGUUUCACUCGCUAUGAAAAGGCAUAAGAAUUAUCAGUUUAUGCUGCAACAGCUAGCGAGCCUGUCUAAUCUUUACUGAUCUUUGAGGUCGAUUGGGCUUUACCUUCCGCAACGAAUCAUACUUAUCCGGCUGGAGACGCCGAACACCUUCCGUUGCACCGUCACUCGGCGCACACCACUUGCACUGUACCACGGACCCGUCCUCCGGCAACGAUGAGUCCACUUGCAACGUCACAGAUGCCGGUUGGCACAUCUUCUCUUGCCUGGACAGCUCGAUGGAGAUUAAGGGAGACCAGAGGUCGCGAAUAAAGGAUCAAGAGAUCGAUGAGAAGAGAGAUCAAGACGAGAGGGAGCCUUCAGUCUGUUGCCUCCGUCUAUGAUAGUUGAUUGCAGCGACCCCAAAAGCAUUUUAUAGGAGAGAAGACAACGGCUUUAACAUCGCCAACAUCAUCUUCUUGUUCACUAGUUCGGCUUGUUGACUCGCUCCAUAGGAUUCGGUCAUUCAUAGUAGUUCGGACUGUCUGCACCUUGACUAGAUCUAGGGUUACUCUAUACAAGUAAUGAUUUGACUCGGUUUGGCAUGCUCAGAAAAACUUGGAGGGCACGUUUCUAUUUCUGAAAUUUAGGUGUGCAAGUCUACAUUUGUGGACCAGAUAUUGAAUAUUUAAGACCGAUUCUAUAAAGAGAAGAUCCAUCAAAACGUAUUUUCUUUUUUUUGUUUGGGGGGGAAGAGUUAAGGGCUGCGUUUGUUUUGAUUUCUUUUUUCUGUUUUUAAACAAUUUUUUUUGUUUUUUUGUUCCUGGGAACAAAAAAGGAACAGAAACGCGUUUGUUUGCAUUUUUAUUCCAAAAUUAUUUUUUUGUUCCCAGAAACACAUCUGGAACAAAAACAAGAAACAAAAAAAAAAGUUGUUUCUUGUUUCUGGAACAAAAUUUAGGAACACUUUCUUCUUCUCUCUUUUUUCUUCUUCUUUUCUUCUUCUUUUUUCUUUCUUUUUUCUUUGGCCGGUCGCCGGCCUCAACAAUUGAACCUUCUCAAACUGUUUCUUCUUAAGAACCAAAAAUAUUUGUGCCAAAAUAACAGAUGCCAAGAAGAACAAAAGGCCUUGGACACGGAAUGGAUCUUGAAGUACUAUUUCCGCAUCUCCUUGACCAAAUCCACCCACAUUAGGAUUACUCGUUAAUGGCUGAUCAAGUUUGAUAGAUUCGCCUUCGGAAACAAGAAGUUCUGGCCCUGGUGGAAUAAUAUCAACCACUUGACGUUCAUCUGACGCAUCCGAUAUGGUUAUUUCGUACCCCCCUUUUUCUUUUCGUAUGAUUUUACUUACUACACCAGCCGCUGUAGCAUUAUAAACUGUAUUGUUACUCUUGCUCCCAUCGGGAUAAAUCUGACCCAUUCCUCUGUUCCCGCCUACAUAUAUGGGAUAUUUUAAGAAGUGAACAUCUUUAUUAGUAGCGGGGUCCGGGGAAAGAAUAGGAAAGGUGACUUCACUAUAUUUCUGACCAGAAACAGGACCUAUCACAAGAAUAUUUUUUUUAUUGGGGCGAUAGCUCUGAAAAGACAGAUUGCCUAUCUUUUCUUUCAUCUCGGGCGAAAUACGAUCGGGAGGUGCUAAUUCAAAUCCCUCAGGUAAAAUAAGAACAGCCCCCACAUUCAAACCUCCCAUUUUACCAUUAGCAAGAACUUGUUUAACUUGCAUAUCAUAAGGAAUUCGAACAACUGCUUCAAAUACAGUAUCAGGAAGUACCGCUUGCGGAACCUCAAUAUCCACGGGCUUAUUAGCUAAAUGGCAAUUGGCACAUACAAUACGUCCGGUCGCUUCUCGUGGAUUUUCAUAACCCUGUUGUGCAAAAAUGGGAUAUGCAUUUGAAAUGGAUGUCCGAGCUAUGAUAUAUAUCAUCAGCGAUACGGAAAUAGAUCGAAUAAUCUCUUUCUUUAUCCAAGAAAAGGUGUUUUUAGUUUGCAUGGUCCAAUCAUUGAUCCCGAAAAUUUCUACAAUAAAAUUAGGUAGGUCGCUUGUAUAGUUCCCUAUCCACAAUUCUGCUAUUUACUUUAUUGAAAUCAUUUUACUGGAAUAUAAGGAGUAGGAGAAAUCCCUGUAGGGUAGAAAGAGUAAGUACGUCUUAAAAUGGAAAUGCUUUGCUUAUGUACCUUAUGUUACAAAGUAACAAAUAUUCUAGUUAGAUCAGUCAUUCAUUGAAUGAUAAAUCACUACAAGUGAUGGAGAUAUACGAUUUAAAUAGCGGAAGAUCCAAUAUUUAAAAAUUGUAUCCAGAAUGACUGGAAAAGUAGAAACAAGACCCGAUAUAAUUUGAUCGUUGUGAGCAAAUCCAAAAUCUUUGUAGACAUAGCCAAUCAUUAGUUCCCAACCAUGGGGCGAAUGGAAUCCGAUACAUAAAUCAGUUAAUAAAAGAAUAGAAAAAGCUUUUAUUGUGUCACUUAAGUUAUAUAGGAAUUCUUGAACCCAAGAGUUAAGAAUAGCAAGUUCUUCAUUACCCAGAAUAGAAUAACCACUUAAAAUAAUGAAAGAGGUUAUAUUUGUCGAUAAGUGAAAAAUCAUAUGGAUAUGAUCCUCAUUGUGCAUCUUGAUCAAUUGGAUCGUUUCUUUGUGGAUUCCUAUACGAAGUGUUUGUAGAUGUGUUUCCGGGUAUUCUUUUAUCAUUUCGUCCAAGAGUAAGAGUUCUUCCAAUUCGAUGAAUUUUUCUAGAAUACUCUUUUCUUGAAUAUCAGUCAAAAAAGUUUCGGAUUGCCUAGUAUUCCACCAAUUAGUAAUCCAAAAUUCAAGACUUUUAUUAAAUGAGAGAGAGAUCCACCAGGGCAAAAAUACUAUAGAUGUAAGAUAUAGAAGAGGAAGAAAUGCUUUCUUUUUUACCAUUUUUUCAUCUUUGAAUUGUUAAUGAAUCCACCUCAUUUGUUGAAUCUAUGUGAUCUACUAUUUCUAUUAACCCUAAGUUCUAUUACAGGGCAUCGGGCCUCGGCCAUGGCCGGCGACCGGCAGUCGAGGGCCGGUGAGGCCGAGCGUCGCCGGCCCUUGGUGAGGCCGACCUCGCGCCGAGCUAGGCGAGCUCGGCCUCGCCGGGCCACUGCCAGGUCGGCAUCGCCUGGCAGUGGCCCGGCGACGCCGAGCCUCGCCAGCCACUGAUUGUCACUUGCUUUUAGUCAUGCAUUCAAAACUGUAAGAUUCAUGCACUAUAAGAUAACCAGACAAGCGAAAAAAUGAUGUGCAUUUCAGUUGAGGUGGCAAGACCAAUUAGAUUGAAUUCAAACCAAAUAAAGCUUGACGCAUAAAAGAGAAAUGUUGUGCAUUGAGCGAAUAUAUGACAAAAUAAGUGCAAAGAGAGUCAUUGAUGUUCUAGCACUUUGGCCAAUUGAGUUCUUAAAAUUUUACUUUGCUUAAUUGAAUCCUUAGCAUUUUCAAUUUUAAUCAAUUGAGUCCCUCAAGCUUGAUCCUCGGAAAUAGCCACAUGGCUAUGAUUUUCCAAGUUGAUAAGAAGAUGCUCGACAAUAAAACCAGGUGAGCCUCUCAAGGGCUUCAUUGGCAUAAUCAUCAGUAUCACUUCGAUUUUUGGGUAUACGUGCUACACCGCACAGAGGUCUAUCAUUUCUUGGAUAUACUUCAUACCUCCCGUAGUGCUACCCGAAACGGUUUUCAUACCUGCAAAAAGUUCAUUGUGAGCAACUUACUUUCUUCACCUAUCAGGUAUCAAUAUUUCAUUCAGUAAUGAGCUUUGAGAACAAAAACAUACCGAGGUUAAGGCUUGCUGCAUUGAAUUUAAUUUCGCUUUGGGACCCAACCGAUGCUAGAACGCCACCCGUCUUCAAAAGAGACAUGUAAGGAUCAAAUGGGUGAUCAGCAGAUACCGUGUCAAUUAUAAAGUCCAGGGACUUAGCCAUGGCUUGCAUGUUACGAUUCAUCAGAUCACGGCAGCACUUGACAUCCAUGGAUCUAAAGUAUUAAUAAUUCAAAAUCUUCCCGUUUACCUUCAUAUGUUCUUGGUCAGAUGAGAUAACGAAAUGGUCAGCACCAAGCAAGCUCAGUGCUUCCUCCUUUUUAGAAAUGCUUGUACUGAACACGGCAACUUUCAGUCCAAAAGCCUUCCCAAGCUUAAUUGCCAUCUGACCGAGCCCACCAAGUCCAAUUACGUCGAAAGACUUACCCGGUUGGUUCAUCUUGUGACGCACCAUUUGAAUGUAUACUGUGAUUCCAUCACAGGGCAAUGGUGCUGCUAAAGCCAACGGGUAGUUUUCUGGAAUCCUAAGGCAAUACCUGUCAAUGAAGCACCACAAUUAAGUUUCCAAAUCAUGUAAUUUUUCUAUUCCCCUCGAUCAUGUCUCUAAGGGACACGAUAUUCCUGUGACUGUUGGAUACAAGAAUCCGUGAAAGCAUAUACAUUUCAUUACCCAUUUGAUCUAACACUUACUAUCUAACUCUUGGGAACAAUCUAAAAAAAGGGAGGAAGCGGAGACAAAAGGCAAGGAUUGAGCAAUUUCCAUCUCUCUCUCUCUCUCUCUCUCUCUCUCUUUUAAUUAAGGGUUAAUAUCCUAAAAAAUCCCAAAUUGGUACACAUGUAACAAAUUUACCUUGACAGACUAUAAAAAACUCUAAACUUAUAUAUUUAUGACAAAUUUACCCCAAACUAAUUUAUUUGACCGCAAAAAAUCUCAAAAUGGUAAAUUUGUAACAAAUAUACCCUUCACUAAAUUGGAUUAAUACCACAAAAAGAUCACAAAAAUUGUAAACCGUGACAAACGGAGCAUGAAAUCUCAAAUUGGUAUUACUAAUCAACUGUCACGUGCCAUUUAACUUAAUAAUUUGACAGUAAAAUUUAAUGAAAACUAAUAGAGGGUAAAUUUGUCACAAGUGUACUAGUUUAGAGUAUAUUUGUCAAAAGUAUACCAGUUUGGAGUUUUUAGUGGUCAAAAAACUAGUUUAGAGUAAAUUUAUCAUAGGUGUACCAGUUUUGAGUUUUUUAGGGUAUUAACCCUUUAAUUAAUUUAGUUUUAAAUUUAAUGUUAUUAAUGUUUCAUGAAAAUUCAUAUGUUAGAUUUAUUGGCUCACAUGUCAUUGUCACUUGAUGUGUAUGAUAUAUAGAAUAGUCCAAGAGUUUUGACUUUAGAUGCUUGGGAACUCGCGAAUGGUCAUACAUUGUCGGUUACACAUUCAAUAUGAUGUAUUAGCUAAUCAUAGUCCUCUAACGGUUUAUAUUUGCUUAAUAUAUUUCAAGAAUAUUCAUUUGUUAGACUUGUCCGCUCACACGCCACUGUCACUCGAUGUAUAUGAUAUGCAGAAUAGUCUAAGAGCUUUGACUUUAGACACUUGGGAGUGUCUAUGCUUGUUUUAUGUCUGUUAUGCUUGCAAUGCUUCUGGUUUUGAGUGGACAGUACAAAUAUUUAAGUCCAUGUCAAUUUGAACAAUUUUCUUUAUUAUAGAGCAACCGUCUUUAAUCUAUUGUGUUCUUGACCACAAAAAACCAAAUAACAAAUAAGUAUUAAUUAUUGUAGGGUCCAACAACAAUCUUUAAUCUAUUGUGUUCUUGACCACAAAAAACCAAUUAACAAAUAAGUAUAAAUUAUUGUAGGGUCCAACAGCAAUCUUUAAUCUAUUGUAUUCUUGACAACAAAAAACUAAAUAAUAAAUAAGUAUACAUUAUUAUAUGGCCCACUCCUUUAAAAAUUUGUUGCUCACAACAACUUAUUUAUUCUCAUAAUAACCCAAAGUUAUGCUAGCAAAGCUCUUUUGAGUAAGUGUAUUGAAAGUUUUAAAAACUUGUCACUAAAGUGCAUUAAGUCCUGAAACUUUCAAAAAAUACAAUUUAAUCCUAAAAUUUGUCACGAAAUGCAAUUGAGUCUUAAAAUUUUCAAAAAGUAAAAUCAAUUAUAAAGAUUUAUCAAUAUUAUAAGGGACAAAACCAAAAGCUGCAUGCAAUAAAUCAGACAAAAUUCAUUAAUUUAUGACCAUCAAGCAAGCGUCAGACAUUAGCAAAUGAAUGUAUUAGCAAUCGAAAAUACAUCGAAAACAAAAAGUUAAAAGCUCAUAUCUACCUUUCAUUCUUAUGCUUUGUAAGCCCCUCUGACCUUAGUGACCGCAAGGAUUUUACUGUGGACUCAAUGAGAUCCAUCUCAAGCUCCACCCUUUCAUGUGUCCAGCACUGAAGCAAAAGGAAAAUCGCAAUAAUGCGAUGAGGAUGAAACUAACCCAUUGAAUUUCUGAGUAAUCCAUCAAGUACAAGUUACCCAUCAUUCGGCCACUAAGCUCCUCCACUAUGGCCCUCAAUUGCUGGAUGCUUACUACGAGCGCUUCAUCCCUUCGUAUGAAGUCAACAUUUCUUUGAUUCACACUUUCUUUGCAUGACAUAUUUUAAACCUACAAGUAAACGUUAGUCACAAAAAUCCUCACCAAUUGCUCCCUCACGUGUUUCUCUCAAUGUGUUUGUCACUCCCCUCGUGUUUAACUCAAAUUUAGGCUUUUUCCCUCUCGUAUUCUCUUUUCACAAGUUCUUUAUUGGACUCAAAAUCAGUCUCUCAGCCCCCUCACGACAAUCAAUCAAAAUAAUCAAACAAGAUUAGAUUACUAUUAAUUUUGUUUCAGCAAGUAACAAUUUCAAACCAACAAGUAUAACUUUCGAAAUUCUAAUUGAAACGCAAAUCACUACUGAUUUUGUUUCAAUUCGGUCCACAGUCGCCUUCUUGAUUUUUUUUUGUUCAGCUUUUUUUUUCUGCUGAAUCUUUUUUUUUUCUCUAGCGCACUUUUUUUUUGUGUGCGUUUUCUUUCUCUUCUUUUUUUUUUUUUACGAACUUUCUUUGUUUUUUUUUCUUUCUUUUUUGACAAACUCAGAUACAAUUUAAGAUGAUAGGAAAAAAAAUAUUAAAACUAACAGCAAACAAUUACGUAUGGAAGCACAAAAGUAAUCAGAUCCCUAAAUUGGCUAGAACCGAAACCCUAACUCAAUAAAUCUCAAAUUGCUGAAUAUAAACAGAAAAUUAAAGAUAAAUAGACAUUGUAGAAGUAAGCUCUGAUACCAAAUGAUGUCAAUCGUUGUGGAAAAAUCAUUCUACGAAGGCCUGGAUGGUGCGAAUUGCAAACCUCGACCUCCAAUCAAACCUGUGAUUGAUAACCUCGAUAUGAACGUGAUCAAACCUACGAUUGAGAACCUCGGUAUGAACGUGACCUAUUGACAAACGCAUGUCAACCAACCAAACCCACGAGCGAAAGAAUAAGGUUAAGUUCUCAAAAAAUAGUAGAAAAGAAUCUCUCAACUUUUUUCAUCCAUAUAUAUAUAUAUAUAUAUAUAUAUAUAUAUAUAUUGACUUGGUCAAAUAUUUGAUGAUCAGAUAAUCAAAUUGUGCAAAGAUUUCUAAGAUUCUUCAAGAUUUAAUCCAAAGCCAUCUCUACGCCGAAGAUCAUGAACCAUGACGCUAACAGCUUACUUGAAUUGCUUGGCUCGUGCUCGAGUAAUUGAACCAGUAGGAAUAGACAAUGGGUCUCUAGCACCACCUCAUCGAUAUGGCUUGAUGUCCACAUCAUAAUGCAUGCGAAGGAACAAGCCGAUUGCCACUUGAUGUUAGUCAUUCAUGCAAAACUGUAAGAUUCAUACGCUAUAAUAUAGCCAAACAAGCAACCAAAAAAAAAAAAUAAAAAAUAAAAAACUAAAAAAAUGAUCUGCGUUGCACUUGAGGUGGCAAGGGCAAUUAGAUUGUAUUGAAACUAAAUGAAGUCCGUUGCAUUAAAAAGACAAUCAAAUGAUGCAUUGAUCAAACCUUCUCUUCCUUCUUCUUUUUCCUCUCCAGGUCUUCCACGCCUUCCGACUUGUUAUCCGGUUGAGACUGCACGACCCACAUCGACUCAUCAAUCUGAUCAUUACAAUCAUAGACUUGCCAUUUCCACAGCUAACCCAAUAACUCAAGCUACAAUCAGACGAGCUUCCACCCAAGAAAACAUACCAUUUCGAUGGUUGGUAAGCGUGAGACUGCAACCAAAGUUCGAUUCCGACAAGAGAAAGCACCGGGACAGAUGGUUGAGCUCCGUUUAGAAGUAGACCCAACAGCCGCCGGCGAACAAGGGUGGCGACCGUGACUUCAAAGAGACGACUUGACGGCGACCGAGCUCGGCGGAGGCGAGGGCGGCGGGACUUGUCAGCAGGGAUUUUUCUGACAGUGUCAGACUGGCACGACUCUGACGUUUUUUUAAUUAACUAAAGAAAGAAAUUCGUAAUACGACGUGGGCAGCCCGCAGGAGGGCGAAAUAAGAGUUUCCUGUUCUUAUUUUAUUUUAUUUUUAGCCUUUUCUGCUUAUUAGCAAAUAAAAUUUAUUAAUUUGACACGAACAUAUAGUGGUGUAUUUCCUACUAGUAAUAUAAAUUUAUAGAUUUUAAGGGAAGACUUGGAUCGUAAUUGUCAUUGGAGAGGAAGUGAAUGAUGAUAUAACAUGAGUUAAUAGACGUAAGUGAAAAAUGUCACAAAAGAAAUCGUGUUCCGAUAUUAAUUUUGUCAAUAUAUUGAAAAGGCAACAGGUUUCGUAUUCUUCUGGACAGAAAUGAAAGGUCAAAGGGAAACGAGAAGGACUGAGCAAAUAAAUGACAAAAUAUGAGCAAUGGAAGUCAUUGAUCGUUUGCCGUUUGACUGAUUGGAUUCUAAAUAUUUUAUUUUCAAUUGGGGUCUAAAUAUUUAUUUGGUCCAAUUGACUUCUAAACAUUUCCAAUUUUAGUCAAUCACGUCCCUCGAAUAUUAUUGUCGGAAAGAGCCACAUGGCUGUGAUUUUCCAAGUGGCCAAGGAGAUGCUUGAGGAGAAAACCUGUAGGAGAGGCGAAGCCAUUCAAGCAGAACUCUCAAGAAGCCAAUUUUUCAGACAGUUUCUCAAUCAUCACAUAGAAAAGUACCAGGAUUUCAUUACCCAUUUCACUUAUUUCUGCUAUAAAACUUACGGGUAUCGAAGUAUAUCAGGCAUAGUUUAUUUGUACUCCAGCAGAGAUAGUAAAAAGGCACAGAUGAUGCUCUCCUCUAGCUGAAACUCCCACUUUUCCUCUCUGUGUGAUCAGCUUUGCCAGCAACAAUUUCCAACUUCCCAAAUUGAUGUUCAAAUUUAAUCAAAUAGACUCAGAGAAGAAAACACACGAGAAUUGUUGCUAUAACUCUUGUUACUUUAUUCAUCAAAACAUCCAAAUCACUUAGCAAGAAAAUAGCUAUAGAACAACAACAACAACAAAGACCCACUGACAUACCCCACCGACCAAACAUGUGGAGAAACUAACUCCUACAAAAAAGCCACUUCCUAUUGACUAGGACUCCACUAUUACAUUAUUGAAGACACGUAAAAACUGUAAGUUAACUACUUCAACAAUUGAUGGUGUCACUUCAAGGAGUUCUCAAUGUCGAUCACGAAUCGAUACUUAACAUCUCUCUUGAUGAGCCUCUCCAGAGCUUCAUUGGCAUAAUCAAUCGGUAUCACUUCAAUAUUUGGGUAUAUCUUCUGCGCUGCACAUAGGUCUAUCAUUUCUUGGGUAUCCUUUGUUCCUCCCGUUAGGCUACCUGAAACAGUUCUCAUAUCUGCCAAACGUUCACCACGAGCAACUUAGUUCACCUAUCAGGUAUGAAAUUUCAUUUAGUAAUCAGAUUUGAGAACAAAAACAUACGGUGGUUAAGGCUGGCUGGACUAAAUUUAACUUCGCUCGAGCCGACCAAUGCUAGAAUGCCACCCGUCUUCAAAACAGACAUGUAAGGAUCAAAUGGGUGAUUGCCGGCUGCCGUGUCGAUUAUAAAGUCUAGGGACUUAGCAAUGGCCUGCGUGCAUUGGAUUUAUCAGAUCACAACAGAAUUUGACCACCAUGGAUCUCAAUGUGGAUAAUUCUAGUUUUUCCUUUUUUUACCUUCAUCUGCUCUACGUCAGAUGAGAUAACGAAAUGGUCAGCCCCAAGCAGGCUCAGUGCUUCCUCCUUUUUAGAAAUGCUUGUACUGAACACUGUGACUUUUAGUCCAAAAGCCUUCCCAAACUUAACUGCCAUAUGACCGAGCCCGCCAAGUCCAAUUACACCUAGAGACUUACCGGGUUGGUUCAUCUUGUGACGUAUCAUUGGAGUGUACACCGUGAUUCCAGCACAGAGCAGUGGCGCUGCUAGAUCCAUCGGGUAGUUUUCUGGAAUCCUGAAGCAAUACCUGUCAAUGAAGCACCACAAUUAAGUUUCCAAAUAACACCAAGAGAGGAAGUGAUUUCCCAAUAGAAUCAGCAUCCUGUCUUUUUUGUCUAAAAGGAAUCAAAUCACAGAGCCAGAAAUCCUAUCUUCCGCAUGCUUGGGAAUGUUACUUGCUUAGACCACAAUUCAGCAUCAUGUUGUUUCCGUGAUCCUUGUUCUGACCACAAAUUGCUCAAGACAAACAUUUCUUGCUGUAGCAACGAAAAUAACUCGAUUAAAAUUAAGAAAAGACACUUGCUCUAAGAAAGGAAACUGGUGGCAUAUCACAUAUGCUUGACUGAACACGUAAUUUCUCUAUUUCUUUCAAUCAAUUCCUCCGAAGGACUCAAGAUUCCUGUGGCUCUAUCAGAUACAAGAAUUAGUGAAAGCACAUACAUUUAGCUACCCAUUUGAUCUUAUACUUAUGAUCUAACUUUAACAAUCUAAGGACAGCUUAUUCCAUUCUUGACAAUGGUUAUUGAAAAGAAAGAAUUUCUUUUUGCAUUUAAUAAAGCCAAUUCUCCAUUGAAUGGUCUGAAUGGUAAUUGGAUACAGAGGACUUAAAGACCCUCCAGAGCCGUUAUAGAAAGUAUCUUUAUCCUUUUCCACAAGAUGCAUUAUGCUACUUCUGGUCACAAUCAGAAUACGAAGAAAAUUAGCAGAGAAGAAGACAUGACAUGAAAUCUUUUUUUGGCCACCAUGAUUUGAAAUUCUUUCACAGUGCAAAAUGCUGCCUAAUAACAUUGUGUUAAUAAGCAAUUACCUUUCAUGGACGACAAUGUGACUAGAAUAUCCUCCCUUUGUCACUGUACCGUCCGUAUCGAUUCGGUCAAAAGUCAAAACCAUCUUUUCACAAUGGACUUCUAGCCCGUCAUUGCAAUACUCGCACUCUCUGCAUGAAUUGACAUAAGUUCCCACACCCACAUGAUCGCCAACUUUGAAGCGUUGGACACUGGAGCCAACCUGUUUCACAAUUCCAACUAUCUCGUGCCUGAAUCAAUCAAAAAAGUCAUUCGCAAAUUUUGUUCAGAGAAUUAUUAGGAUGGUGCUAAGAAAAAAGAUUAACAUUCGAAUCACGCUGCAUCCUACCCUGGCACCAGAGGAUACUUGGAGGUUCCCGACAUAUUCCUAGUCCAAGCCACAUCUGCAUAGCACACUCCGCAGUGCGUGAUCCUAAUCGAGACGUCAUCGCUUCCCACGGUCCUAAAGAGAGAAUUCCCAAACAGAUGAGCAUCUAAUCAAGCAACUAAUCAGACUCAGUUACCUUUUGUUCUCAUUUUUCAGAUCAAUAAACUAAGCGUGACUUACAAUAAUCAUACAUUCAACCCAAAAAAAAAUUUAAGAAAAGAGAAAUGAAAAGGAACCAAAUCCAUGACUAUAGGCAUUUGUCUGAAUAGUACAUACAACCUCAAAUGCUCACAAAGGCAGCACCCGAAUCCUAAUGUCUGCCAUGAAGUUCUAAGCAACUCAUUCUGGGACAUGACAUAUCAUGCGUACAAACAAUUCUCUACCCAGAAAUUAGUGCAUACACAACAAAAUUUAUAAAAGAAAAACGAAAUGGUUUGGUCAAUGUGGAAAUUUAAAUAUAUGACAAGCAUCAAAAACUGUUUUGCAUUACAGGUGAGAGGAUAAGACCUGAGAACACUGUAUUGAGACUUAUUCAGACAAAUACUUCAAUAGAAAUUGAAAGUAUAAGGAGCAGAUGAAUUAAAUAAAGAACAGUGGUAACAGUAAUACCUGCGGCUGAAUUUGUAGGGGGAGAGACGUCCAGAAGGAUCUCUGGCAGCCCAACCAAGACAAUCUUCCUUCGCACCCUCUGAACUCAUCGUUCCUCACCGACCUCAACUGAAAUCGACCCACAAAAAAAUUGCUGUGUUAAUCUCUCAAUAAGCUGAAUUAUGGAAGAAGAAGAAGAAUUAUUUUCGUGAAAGAGAAAUGAAGAGAAAAUCAAACCGGAAAACAGAAGUUCAAAUGGUCAAAAGGCCAAAUGUCACGAAGACUUGGCAAUUCCGUUUCCGUGCAGACAAGAUUUUGCGGUCUGACUUUUGAGCAAAGAGCGAGAUUAGCAGAGAGCGAGGUUGAGCGCUCAAAAACCGUCACCUCUUUAUAGAUGCCAUAGCGUCGCCUGUUCUUGAUUUUUUUUUUCGUUUUAUCUUGUGGAAAAGAAUUAGUGCCAAACGUAAGCCAUUACCCUUCACUAGCCAAUGAAGUAUGCAGUGACGUCUUCUGGAGUACGGUUCUUGGUAUUUUUAUUUAUCCUCCCAAUAACAAUUGCAUUAUUAAUUUAUUCACACAUUAAAUAUGUCAAUAGGCAACAUGUUGACGCAUAAAAUAUGUCAUGAUCCUCUAGUGGUAUGUAUUCGAUUCAUCUAUUUUAAGAAUAUUCACCUUCAUCUAUUUUAAGAAUAUUCACCUUCUUCAAAGAUAGUGUUAGUAUAUGCGGAAACAUGUGUUUGAUAUGUAUGCAAGCAAAAGAACUAAGGGACAAUGUGAGCAAGAAAUAGUGGGACAAAGUAAUAAUAGGAAUGUGUAAAAGAGAAUGAGGCUGAGGCGGUGAAGGAGAGAAACUUGAAUGGAAGUCAACAAUAGUGGCUGAAGAAGAAACUAGUAUGUGGACAGCAAGAGUACUUGGAGAAGAAGAAAAUGAGUUGUCAGCUGUACUAUGGCCUAUGGCGGUGAAAAAGUCAAAAAUGUCAUGCUUGAAGUCGGUUGUAAUUGCCUAUAAAUAGGCUUGUCGUUCAUUUAUUUGGUGUGUGUGAGGUGAACCCUUCACCUUGUGUGGGGGUGAACCCUCCACUGUGAGAGGUCUUAAACCUCCGCUAGGACCAUAUGGAGAGUGACUAUUCAACACCUCCAUCAAAUUAUUUUGUCUUCUUCAAUAAGUUCUUGACAGCUGGAGUUUGAUGAAGAAACUUUGCUUCAUGCUUUCCGCUACUUGCUAUUUCCGAUGCACGUAGACUUCUCUAGCCUAUUCUAGGAUUUCUUCUUCAACUUGGGGUUUGCUUGCUUGUAUUCCCAUGUGAAUCUUCUAGGUUCAGCUAGCAACCACCAUUCUCAACAAUUCUAGACAAUCUUCAACAUGGAUGUUGCUACCAACGUUCUCGCCUUCAUGAUUAAGUUAAUAGUUUCUAAACAGUUUUAGAGAAAAUGGAUCAUAAUUUUCAACAUAUAGUAUUUUGGAGAGAAAAGUAUUUCAGCAGAAUUGUUCAAGGAUUUACAGAUCACUACAAUAUCACCGGAAGCAAAUAAUUAUCCAUCAUUGACAUGAACGAUAUAGCAAAAAUUCUUUUACUUGUUUACCUUAAGUUUAGCAAGAUCUGCUUAAACGACAACCUUGAGUAUCUUCAAUUCCCUUUCUCUUGCCUUCAAAAAGAUAUUGAAAUGCAACGCAGAAUCAAGACAGAUUGUCAUUAACAAAGCUGUAAAAGCCUACUCAAUCUGGCAAAAUUGGGGACAGUGUUUUCCAGCGAUCUUGACUACCUCGGUAGCUGCUGUGCAAAUGGAUAGGAAUGCAUGCAGAGGGACAAGCUGAUUGUUACCUACUUUUAGUCAUUCAUUUGAAACUGUAAGAUUCAUGUGCCAUAAGAUAGCCAAACAAGCGGGCAAAAAAUGAUGUGCCUUGCACCGAAGGUGGCAAGAGCAAUUAGAUUAAAUUCAAACCAAAAAAAGCUUGAUGCAUAAAAUGAAAAGUCAUCCAUUGAGCAAAAAAGGGUGCGUUUGGUAAGGUUUCUGUUUAAAAAUUGUUUCUGGGAACAUAAAUAAAAAAAAGUGUUUCUGUUCCAAGGAACAAGUUUUGAACAAAAAAACGCAUUUGGUAAAUCUGUUCUAGAAAUAUAAAAAAAAUAGAAACACGUUUGGUAAGUUUGUAUAUUUUUUUUUAUUUCUUUUAAUUUUUAAUAUUUUUAUUUUUAUUUUCUAUUUUCUUUCUUAUUUUUCUUAUUUAUUUUUCCUUUUUUUCUUAUUUAUUUUUCCUUUUUCCUUUUUUCUUCUUUUGGCCGGUCGCCGGCCUCGGCCAUGGCCGACGACCAGCCGACAAGGGCCGGCGGCCUCACCCAGCCAUGGCGAGGCUCGCCGGCCGCUGGGCGAGCUCGGCCUCGCUAGAUCUGGGCGAGAUCGAGCUCGCCCAGCCAGGCGCGAGGUCGGCCUCGCCGCGCUGUGCCGACGGUGACCCAGAGCCACACCAUCGUCUCCCUCCACCGCAUCGGUGACCGCGCUCGACGCCUCCUCGCCGCCACCGGAUCGGCGACCACCCCUCCGCCUCACGCCCGAUUGACGCAUCUGCAGGUCUCGAGCCUUCGUUCACCACCGCCACAUCAGAUCUCACCACGCCGUGACCCACGGCUUCGAGAUCCGCUCGAUCGUCGACCCCGCGCCGGCCCACGACUCGACCGGCCGUCCUCGCCGCUCCGCUCCUAGACGUCCGCCGCUCGAGACCCCACGGCCGAGCCCCGCACCGCAGCCGCCGCCGCCGCCCAGCGACCCGCGACCCAGCUCCGUCACCCGCUCACAGGUGGAGAUGCUCGCAGCGGCUGUCGGCGCCGGAGAGGACGACGGUGGAGAAGCCGGAUGGUCUCGAGACAGAGGCGGCUGUCGGCGCCGGAGAAGACGACGGUGGAGACACUUGCAGAAGGAGAGGCUCGCAGGAGAACACGAUUUUGUUUCUUUUUUGUUCUUCAAAUAUGUUUCAGAAAUAAGAAAUAAGAAAUUCUUGUUUCUUAUUUUUGUUUGUUUCUUAUUUUUGUUCCCUUUUUGUUUCUAGGAACAAAAAAACAAAAAAGAAACAGAAAUGCACCCAAACGCGUUUCUGUUCCUUUUUUGUUCCCAGAAACAAAAAAAUAGAAAUUUUUGUUCGUGGGAACAGAAACACGGUGCAAACAAACGCGCCCUAAAUGACAAAGUAAGUGCAAUGAGAGUCAUUGAUGUUCACGCCAAACGUAUGCCAUGACCAUUCCUUAGCCGAGAGAAUGUAAGCAGCGACAUCUUCUAGAUAGUGGUUACUGGCAAUUUUUUUUUUUUUUAUCCCCGGCCUGAUCAAAUUAUCCGAGUUAUAAACUCAGAAAGAAGUUAAUGAGCAAUCUACCGCUAGGACCUAUGAAGGGUCAUAUGUUGUUGGUUACACAUCGUGUUGGAAUAUAAUAUACGGAAAUGAAAAGAUCUUGCAAUUUACGUCAACGUGCAAACUCCAGAAAAAUAAAUGAGAAAUAAUAAGAACACCAUAACUUUACGUGAUUCGGUCCGAGUAUUAGUACCUACAUUCACGGGAGAGUUAGCAACAAAUAACCCACUAUAAUAAAAAAAUCAGAGUUUACAAUCGCUCACAUGCUUGAGUAUUUUCUACACCUAGAUUUCAACUCAAGAGUUUAUAAAUAAACAACUCAUUUUAACAUAAAUUCACGACAUAAAAUUACCACUCGUUCAAAAACAAAAUGCUCUACGUACGCCAAAAACAAGAAUUCCAGCAUUUAUCUUUUGGUUCGCGUAGAUACGGAUUUGUGUUCUUCUUUGCUUGAUCGUGCGGCGCUAUUCUAGACGUUCCUUUUGGCUCUUUCUUCUUCGUAGGGCUUCAGUAACUUUUUCUAUAAAAAAAAAAAAGGACGUUCUAUUUUAUAUAUGUGCCUAGAGUCAACAACUUUGACUCUGGGCCCACCAUGUGCUUCUUUCUUCAGUGGGAAGUGGGACGCUGCAGGUAAGGCGAAGAAACCUUCCUUUUAUUCAUUUUUCUUCAUAUUUCCUUUAUUUUAUGGGAUAUGUUUGGCAGAAGUCCUAAAACUUGUCCAGAAAGUGCAAUUGAGUCCUAAAACUUACAAAAAGUUCAAUCAAGUCCUAAAACUUGUCAAAUUGGUUCAAUUGAGUCCUAAAGUUAACACCGUUAAGAAAAUUAACAGAAAUUGCUGACGUGGCGCUGACGUCAUAUUUUAAAUGAUCUUUUUUAUUUUUCAAAUAGCUUUUUUAAAUUAUUUUUAUUCAAAAUCUUUAAAAAUUAGAUUAAAAACUAAAAAGGAAAAUCUAAAUUUAUUAAAAAAACAAAAUUGUUCAAAAAAAAAAAAAGAAAAAAGGGCGGUGGACUUUCGCCGCUGCCCAUCGCCGAAGGGGCCGGCGAUCGUCGCCGGCCCUGGGCGGGGGCGAUGGUCGCCAUCCCUUGCCUGGGGCCGAGCAACCGUCGCCCGCCUUGGGCGAGGCCUCGUCGGCCCUCGCUUGGGGUCGGCGAGGCUCGCUAGAUCUGGGCGAGCCUCGCCCUCGCCAGCCACCCCUGCCCAGGGCCGACAACUGUCGCUCGGCCCCUUCGGCGAUGGGCGGCGGCGGCGGCGGCGGCGGCAGCGGCGGCGGGGAGAAGAGGGCUGCUUUUUUUUAAAACAAUUUUAAAAAUAACUUUUAUAACUUUUCUUUUUAAUUUUUAGAUAAAAUGAAUAAAUUUAAUUUUUUAGUUUUAAUUCUUUUUUUAAAAAUGAAUAAAAAUCAUUAAAAAAAUCCACGUGGAAAAUAAAAAAUAAUUAAAAAUGAUACGUCAGCAUUUUUAACAGAAAAAGCUAACGGUGUUAACUUUAGGACUUAAUUGAACUAACUUGACAAGUUUUAGGACUUGAUUGAACUUUUUGUAAUUUUAGGACUCAAUUGCACUUUUUGGACAAGUUUUAGGACUUCUGCUGAACAUAUCCCUUAUUUUAUAUAUGUUGUGUGCCUAAAGUCAAGACUUUUGACUUUGGGCCCACAUAAAUAACCUUGUUUGGCUCCCGUAGAUAAAGAAGAAACUUUGUUCUUUUUAUUAUUAUUAUAUUUUCUUUCCUCUUUCGUAAACCUUCACAAAGUCCAACAAAGCUUCUUCUAUUGAUCGAAACAAUCAAAGACCCAAAAAGAAUUUCGAAUUUAUUUUCUUGUGCAUAAUCUUGAAUAUUAUCUUUAUCAGAAAAAUAUCUUCACGAUCAAAUAAUAAAAUUUUUAUCCAAGCGGAUCGCAUUUUGCAAAUACUCAAACUCGAGACAUAAUUUAACACAUCCGACAUGAUAUACUGCCCAAUUACUAUCCUCUGACAAUUUAUAUUUGAUUAAUCUAAUUCAAGAAUAUUCAUUUGUUAGACUUGUUGGCUUACACGCCACUGUCACGUGAUAUAUCCUAUAUUGAGAAUACUCAAUGAGCUUUGACUCUAGAUACUUGGGAGCAUCUAUGCUUGUUUUAUGUAUGUUAUGCUUGUGAUGCAUCUUGUUUUGAGUGGACUGUAGAAAUAUUUAAGUUCGUGCCAAUUUGACUAAUUUUUUAUCUGGAUAAGUGCAUUGGAAGAUUUAAAACUUAUCAUAAAAAUACAAUUAAGCCAUGAAACUUUGAAAUCAAGUUCUAGAACUUGUCACAUUGGUCUAAUCUAAAUCCUACCAUUGCAUUUUUGAAAAUUUCGGUACUUAACUGCAAUUUUCUAACAAGUUUUAGUAUUUCCAAUAUACUUUUUUUUUUUCAACCUCAGUAAUGUUUUUAAGCAACAAUGAGCUUGACAUAUCUCUGUUUUCGGAAUUUCAGUGGCUAUAGGAAACAAAAGGACGUCCUCUAAUGAAUCAACAAUCUUCUGCCAUGACAAAGCUGGAAGAGAGAUGAGUGUCUUCCAUAGUUAUAAAAAAUGUUCAUGCAAUAAUCUGUAGGAAUUCGUCUUCCUGACGUGCAUGAACAUUUCCGGCCAUGAAACAUUUCACGGUGAAGACAUUCUGUCACUUAAACCGGCAAAAGGAUAUCGAGCUUGUUCUUUUGGCGAGUGUAUUGCCGUCAAAUAUGCCUGAUUAAUUCCACGACUAUUAGCAUUUGUUUAAAUAGAGCAUACAACCUAAAAUGCUCACAAAGGUAGCUGGUACUGGAUCCUCAUGUCUGCCCAUGAAAUUCUGAGUGCCUCAGACAUGGCAUAUCAGGCACACAAACAAUUCUCAACCCAGAAAUUAGUACGUACACAACAAAAGUUUAAAAAAAAAAAAAUUGGUUUGGUUAAUGUGGAAAUUUAACAUCAUGACAAGCAUAAAAAACUGUUCAGCAGUACAGUAGAGAGGUCAAGACCUGAGAACACUGUAUUGAGACUUAUUCAGAUGAACACUUCAGAUAGUCACUGAAAAGCUAAGGAGCAGAUGAAUUGAAUAAAGAACAAUGGCGAUGAUAAUACCUGCGGCUGAAUUUGUAGGGGGAGAGAAGUCCUAGAAACCGUCAUAGAUGCCAUAGCGAUGGAUGUUCACGAUUAAUCUUUGAGCUUACUAUUGUGGAAAAGUAUUAGUGAUUCGCCAAACGUAACCCAUGACCCUUCCUUAACCAAAGAACGCAUGCAAUGACAUCUUCUGGAGAGCGGCUCCUGGAAUUUUUCCAUCCACAACCUAAUUGCAUUAUCAACCUACUGACACAUAAAAGAUGUCAAUAGGCAAUGUGCUGUUGCACCACUGGACCCGCAAAUGGUCAUCAAUGUCGGUUAUACCGCCAAUAAUUUGUACCUGACCCUUCAUAGUCGUAUUAUUCGAUUAAUCUAUUUAAAGAACAUUCAUUUUCUUCAAACAUGCUUUCUCACGUGCCACUGUAAUAUGAUGUUUUUGAUACACAAAAUACUAUCUCUUCAAGAGCUUUGACUCCUAUAUACUUGGGACAUUAAAUUGUUUUAGCAACAAUGAGCUUGGGAUAUCUCUGUUUUCGGGAUUUCAGUUGCUAAGGGAAACAAAAAGGACGUCCUCUAAUGAAUCGACGGUAUUUUGCUAUAACAAACCUGGAAGAGAGAUGAGCGUCUUACAUAAUUACAAAAAAAUGAUCACGCAAUAGUUGGUAGAAAUUUACUCUGCUGACGUGCAUGAACAUUCUGAACAAAAAACGGAAAACAUGCAUGAACAUUUCCGGCCAGGAAGCAUUCACGAGGAGCUGAGAGACACUCUAUUUCUUAAAGCAGCAAAAUGAUUACGAGCUUGUUCUUUUGGUGAGUGGAAUGAAUAAAUUGUUCAAAAAAUCCUAAACUUAUUGUCCGACCACUAAUUUAAUUCUAAACGUUUUAAUUUGAUCAAUGUUGUCUAAAACUUUUGACAAUUUUUUGUAGUCCACCUAGUUAAAUUUAGGUCGAAAAUCAGUGAUGAAGCAAUUUAGUAAACACUAGCUGUUUUAAGUGAUACAACCGAUAGCUGAUAUAGAUGAUCUUAAAUGAUGUGGCGUCGUUUCACAAUUUUUUAAUAUUCUUUCUUUUUCUUUUUUAGUAAUUUUUUUUCCUAUUCUUUCGUUCUCUAGUGUUCAUUUUCUUCCCUCUGCCGGUGGCCGAUGCCUCAGCAAUGACCGGCGACCAUCAUAGGCUACAAGUGAGGGCAUUGAGCGAGACUUGCAAGCCUUCUCCUAGAUUUGGGCAAGGGCCCUAUAGGCCCUCAUUGGCCGUAGGCAAGGUUGGGGACUUGCAAGCCCUUGCCUAGAUCUACCCUCUAAUGGGGUCAAUGCCUGCCAUCACCAAAGCCUCAAUGUCUUGCUCUGGAAAGAAAAUGAACAGCAGAGAAGGAGACAAUAGGAAAAGAAAGAAAAAAGAAAAAGAGAGGAAAGGAAAAAGGGAAAAAAUCUGAAAAUAAUAACAAAAAAUUGCAAAAUGACGUUGUUUCAUUUAAGAUCAUCCAUGUCAAUUGCCAAUCAUGCAACGUGGCCUACCUUGUUGGAUGUAGUAGAUUUAGGAUAUUUUGAAUAUUUUUCUCCUAUUAAAUAUGCCCGGUUUAUUUGAUAUCCUAAAAUUUGUCAACUUUGUGAAAUCAAGUUCUAAAAUUUGUUGGCACUCUUUUCAUAUUGGAUGAAGUUAAUGAAAUGACUUGAUUACAACUACUUGGUAAGUUUUAUGACUUGAUUGUAAUUUUUGAAAAUUGUCGGACUCAAUUGCAUCUCUAUAAUAAGUUUUAAAACUUGAUUACGCUAUCUAAAAAUUUUAAGAUUUUCAAUAUACUUAUCCCUAAAAUAAAAUAAAAAGGGCCUACCCCCUUUACAUGAACUCUUUAAUUUAAACGCACCAUGGAAUUUCCUGUCCUUUUACACAAUUUCAUUAACUAAGAUUUUAUUUUAUUUUUUGGGUUAAAACCAAGAUUUAGUUCUUCUUCUUCUUUUUUUUCGGACCAGCCAAGAUUUAGUUCAAAGAUAGAUAUUUUGAGGAGAAAAAAAUUUCAGCAAACUAUGCAAGGAUUUGCAAAAGAUCGCAACAAUAUUACCGGAAGCAUAUAAUUAUUUAUCACUGACGAAUGAUAUAGUAAAAAUUCUUUUAGAAGUUUACCUUAAGUUUAGCAAGAUCUGCUUAUUCGGCAGCCUUGAGUUUCUUCGAUUCCUUCUCUCUUGCCUUCAAACAGAUAUAGAAAUGGCAACGCAGAAUAUCAAGAUAGAUUGCCAUUGACAAAGCUGUAAAAGCCUACUCAAUCGAGCAAAACUGGGACAGUUUUUCCAGCAAUCUUGACCACCUCCGUAGCAUGCCGUGGAAAUAGAUAGGAACACAUGUAGAGGGACAAGCUGAUUAUCACUUGCUUUUAGUCAAGCAUUCGAAACUUUGAGAUUCAUGCACUAUAAGAUAGCUAGACAAGCAAAAAAAAUGAUGGGCAUUUCAGUUGAGGUGUCAAGAGCAAUUAGAUUGAAUUCAAACCAAAUAAAGCUUGACGCAGAAAAGAGAAAUGUUGUGCAUUGAGCGAAUAUAUGACAAAAUAAGUGCAAAGAGAGUCAAUGAUGUUCUAGCGCUUUGGCCAAUUGAGUUCUUAAAAUUUUACUUUGCUUAAUUGAAUCCUCGGCCUUUUCAAUUUCAGUCAAUUGAGUCCCUCAACCUUGAUCCUCGGAAAUAGUCACAUGGCUAUGAUUUUCCAAGUUGAUAAGAAGAUGCUCGAGAAGAAAACCGGGUAGGAGGUGAAAUGGGACCUAAGUGCAAGUUUUACUAUUUCAGUAACUACAAUUGAUCUGACAGAAGGUUGAACUUUCAUGGAUCUGGCACUUCGUUUGAAGCUAUACAAACAGAAAUCAGCGGGCUCAAGAAGCCAAUCUUUUAGACAGUUUCUGAAUUAUCACACAGAAAAGCACUAGGAUAUCUUUACACAUUCACUUAUUAUAUCCUCUAUAAACUAACAGUUAUUAGAGUAUAUUAGGCAUCAUUUAUUUGUAGUACAUUAGGUACAGAUGUCCUCUCUCUGAAAUUCCCUCUUUUCCUCUUCUUACGAUUAGCUUUGCCAGAAGAUGUUUCCAACUUCCGACAUUGAUGAUGUCAUUUCAAGGAGUUCUCAAUGUUUAUCACAAAUCGGUACUUAACAUCUCUCUUGAUGAGCCCCUCAAGGGCUUCAUUGGCAUAAUCGAUCAGUAUCACUUCGAUUUCUUGGUGUAUGUGCUGUGGCGCACAGAGGUCUAUCAUUUCUUGGAUAUACUUCAUUCCUCCAGUAGCGCUACCCAAAACUGUUUUCAUACCUGCAAAAAGUUCAUUGUGAGCAACUUAGUUGGCUUGCCUAUCAGGUAUCAAUAUUUCAUUCGGUAAUGAGCUUUGAGAAUAAAAACAUACCAAGGUUAAGGGAGGAAGUACACUAAUGGUGCCAUAAGUUAUGUACGGCGCUCACUUUGGUGUCAAAAAUUUUUGUCGGAUCACUUAAGUGCCAAAAAUUUUGAAAAACGAUCACUUUGGUGCCAUCGUCGAUUUGGUUGGUCGGAAAUCUGACGUGACAAUUUUUUAUUAAUUUUUUAUGCCGACGUGGAUCGUCGGAUAAUACAAUCAACAAACAAAGAACAAAACGAUGCCGUUUACCAUUUUCCCCCAAAUAAAAACCCCUAAAUCCCUAAUUUCGACUAGAACUGGAAGUUGAAAACCCUAAAUCCCCAAUUCGACCAUUUCGAGUGCAUAUUUCGAUUUUCUGCCAAAGUUAUCAACUUGCUUUUGCAAAUGGAGGACAAAAGUUUCAACAGUGGCUCGCAUUCCUAUAAGAAAAGCGAAUUAGAUGGUGAGUGUUACUGUUAUUGUGGGUUACCGAGUCCGAGAAGAAUAUCUUGGACUUGGUUGAAUCCCGGGAGAAGAUUCCAUGGGUGCGGCAGAUAUAGAGAAAGCUCGAAGUGCCAUUAUUUCAAAUGGGUUGAUAGGAAAUUCUCUAAUCGAGCGACAUAUGUGAUAUUGGAGUUACUUGAAGGCCAAAAUCAACCUCCAUCUAUGUUAAUGGACGAGCUGGGGGAUGUCGACUCAAUACAAGCUCAAAUGAAGGGUUUAACAUCUCUGAUGGACCAUUUGAAGAGAGAGGUUUCAAGGCUGAAAAUUGAAAGAAACUUUAUCGAGCGUUGAUUGUAUUCUUAUUCUCUUGGGUAGUUUAUUCAAAUGUAAAGUGAGUAAUGAGAAGAAAUUUGUAUGUCUACCAUAGUCGAAGACGUGGAAUAUGCACUUGUAUUGGAUUAUUUAUAAGUAAAAUGUGUUUUUUGGUUUGUUGCAAUUUUUAUAUAGAGCAGAAUGUUUUAUUGUUGUAAUCUAUAGGUAGAAAUGUAAGGUUGGACUUGGAAUGCAUUAGUUGUGAGCACUUAAAAAGUUUUGUUGUUUAGUUGUGUAUUGUCAAUGUUUGUUUUUGUUAGUUUUUACUUCAAAUAUAAUGGUUUACUGCAUUUUUUAUUUGGUAAUAGUUUGCUGCAUUGAAAGCAAACGGUAAUGGUUUGCUGCAUUUUUUAUUUGGUAAUGAUUUGCUGCAUUGAAAGCUUUUGAUAAUGGUUUGCUGCAUUUUUUUUAUUUGGUAAUGGUUUGCUGCAUUUUUUAUUUGGUAAUGGUUUGCUAGUUUGCUGGUUUGCUUCAACUGUUAAACCAUGGCUGAAUGGCCGAAAUUAAAGAAUGGUGCCAAAUUCACGAUUGAUCAUUUCAGUGCCAUAAGUUGUAAAUAGUGAUCGCUUAAGUACCAAGUUUUUAUAGAAGUGAUCAUUUAAGUGCUAGUCGCAAUUACAAAGUGAUCACUUAUGUUGCACAAGUUUUUUAAAAAAUAACAUGUUAGUGCCAAACGUCACAUUCCAAAUGCACAGAGUUCUUGCACCAGUUGAGUUGCUGGUGCAUCUUCUUGCACCAACCCAUACAGAUGUCGAUGCAACAAGAUGUACCAGCACCCAAAGUGCUCUUGUAGCAGCACAUAUAAUCAGAACCCCACAAAUUCAUUAUAAUCCACAACUUUAACCAACAACAGCAACAUUGCAGCAACAACAACAUUGCAAUAACAACAAAAAUAAAAUAUAUAGCAUAACUAACUUGCUAGCAUUCUAGCUAAAACCAACACAAGAGAAAAUGAAAAGUCAUUCCAGUACUUGCCAUUAACAUUGCUUGAUUGUUUACAAAAUACAAAAUACAAAAAAAAAAAAAAAAAACAUGUCUAACUUCACUCCCUAAUCAUCAAAAGUUCAGCACUUUCCUAAAAAAAAACAAUGGCAAUAUGCAAGCAGCAACUACCAUUGAUGAUAUAAUAUCCAGCACACUCCUAAAAAAAGAAAACAUGGAAAGAGACCAUGUCUAGCAUCACAUAAAAAGAGACCAUGUCCAACACCCUCCCAUCAGUCAAUAUUGACAACACCCUGAUCUCUUUUUCUUAUUAGAGCUUUGAAUUGAUUCAUAAUCCGAGCACUCUUUCGAACUGGAUGUGCAGGUUCUUAACUGGGCUUUCUGUCACCUCAUUUUCCUUUUCCUUGUUUUUUACGGCAGCUAUUUUUGUUCUAGCACGUAUCAUGUGUUGGUCCAUAUCAUCACUACUGCUCCCAAUCGUUGGUUGAGAUGGAACUAGUGAUGGGUUCUUUUUGGAUGGCUGUUUCGCAGCUAUACCCACUGUCUUCUUCUUCUUCUUCUUUGGAGCACUCUUCUUUGGAUGCGCCCUUAAUUCUUGAGUUGGCCCACCUUGAGAGAGAAGUACCUCUGAAGUUCUCCCAGGCUACAAGAACAUAAUGAUAUUGUCAACCAAAUGAAUUGAAGUACAACAAAUUAAAUGCAUAAGGCCUAUAAAUUUUACAUUCAAAAUAGUCAUUCCAGUACGUUCAUCUGUGUAAAUCCCAUAACCAUAUUGCCUUAAUUUUUUUCCAAGAGCCCCUUUUGUUCGCUGUGAUGCAUCAUUUUCAGCAACAACAAUCUGAUAUUGCUAGUAUGAGUACCUAGAGGGGGGUGAAUAGGUAUAUAAAGAGUUUUUCUCAAGCAAUUGCACAAUACUAGACAGUUGGAUGAAACGAUAAUCAAAGUAAGACUGAGAGAAGAGAAAAUUUAAUACGCGGUUUAUAGUGGUUCGGCUUAUAUCAAGCCUACGUCCACUCUUCUUCACUGACAGCCUAUUGGCUGGAUUCCACUAUGAACAAGAGAGAGGUUACAGCACAGCUUUGCCUUGAUUCCACAGUGUAGAUGUUCUACUACACCUCCUCAAGAUUUCUCACAAAUAUAGACUCUCUCUUUCGUAUACAAGUAUUCGCUCAAAGGAUUUGUCUAAACAAAAAGAAGUUUCAGACUUUGGAAUUCUUCUAUCGCGCACACCUUGAACAACUAAGACAGUCUUCCUUAUAUACUCCUUUAUGCCAUCAUACCCGUUGGCACUUACCAAAGGAAUUCCUCCAAUCUACCCGUUGAACGGAAUCAAUUAGGAAGAUUGUCCAAGCUAUAAAUGGAACGUGUUGAUAGCCCAUCAAUCAUGUUCGCCCAUACAAUCAGGAUCUCGGUUUCCAUAAGCAGAACCUUCCAAUAAUAUUUAGGCAAUCACCGGAUCUUCAAUUAUCGAAUCAAUCUUCGAUCAAUCAAAGGACUCCGUUUAUGUCUUCUCCAGCCAUGAGAUCUUCUCCAGUUGAUAAGGUUAAAUCCUCAACGAAACAUCCAGUUCUGGAUAACCUUUCUUCAACAAAUUAGAGACUGUCAAUGAGGAUAGACUUUGAGUCUUGAGUCUAGCUGUCCUAAGGUCUUUAGACUUUAAAUAGCAGAGUCUGCAAGCCUUCAGACUAGACUGAUAUAAACGAUUUGUCAACUUCAAAACACUUCAAGAAGAUUUCUCCAACAAUCUCCCCCUUUUUGAUGGUGACAAAACUUUCCUGCAGAUUUGGAUAUCUUUGACCUGCAAAACAUUUCUCAAACACAUAUACAUAUCUUAUAGAGGUAAAUGUCUUAACAGAAUAACACUAGAAUCUGCAACCACAGAAAAUAGGUUAGUCCAGUAUAUGAUGAAGCCAUCCAUAAGAUAUCAAUAUUAGUUAAUAGAAGCAGUCAAGUCCAAGUCUAGUUUACUUCUCAUCCAAACACAAACCAAAGUCAAAUAGAUUCAAACCACAAAACAAUCCAACAAAAACAAUUAAAAGUUGAAUGAAAGGUUUUUAAUCAAAUCUUGCAUCUCUCCCCCUUUUUGUCAUCAUUAAAAAGGAUGAGAUGAAGUUAAGAAUGCUUGGGAACGCGGACAAGCUGGAAAUCUUCCAUAGACUGAACAAUGCCUUCCAACCUUUUAAAGUCUUCCUUUAGCUGUGCAAUCUCCUCACUCUUGGCAUUGGCCUGAUUCUGAACAGAGAGGGCUUGCAUUUUAUCAUUCAAUAAACAGGAAGAAGCUUGACCUUCAUUCUUCAAGCUUUGAACUUCGCAUCCCAAGGCAUAAAUCUGACCUCGCAUCUCCAAAAGAAUAUCCAUGAUUCUGCGAAAAUCUGCUCCAUUAUCAGUUUGAGUACUUGCUUCGGCUCGAUCUGAUGGAGUAAAUGCAGAUGAUGGUAGAUCAGCAUAAUCUUGCAGGUUUGGCGAUGAAACUUCAUGACCUUCUUCUGGAAAUUGAGAUGCAUAAACAUCCUCUGGAUCUGCUGGUGAGCGACUGAUUCCUUCACUUGCAUCAGGACAUGAAGACUUCACUCCUUUCUCCUGAUCUCCCCCUGUUUCCAUGCCUACAGGUGGAGAAGAGUGUUCUUCAGGUUCUCCUUCUUCUCUUCUUUCUUCUUCAGGUCUUUCCUCCUCUGUUUCUUUUUCAGCUUCUAUUUCUUCUUCUUCCUUCUCCUCUGCUUCUUUCGUCAUUUGCUCCGAUUCUUUCUGUGGAACAAGACGACUUAAAUUCUUCAAAGCCAAUGCAGAGAUGGUGAUGUCUUCCUCAUCAUCUUCAUCCUCAACAAGGAGAGCUCUUCUUCUCUUGGAUGGAGCAACCAUGGGCUCCUUCCCUUUUCUUUUAGCUGCAGAAGAUAUUUGAUGAGAUUUUGCAGGAGUCUUCUCCUUGAAUUUCUCCAACUCCUUGCUCAGUUCUUUCAGACGCAUUUUGGUCACCAUUUUCAGACCUACCACCAUAUGAUCGCAUGGUCGAACACAAAAGAUUUGUAGAGGCUGAAUAUUCAGAUGUCUGAAUAACUUCGUAACAAGGCUUGGGUAAGGGAGUUGACCUCCGUCCUUCAUCAUUGCUCUAUACAUGUGAAACAUCACAGUGUGAGGGAGAGAAAACCUUUUUCCAAAGAGAAUGGCAUACAUCAACUUGGCCUCUGAACUUGAAACAUCAGUCUUGGAAGUCGAUUUCGGUCGGAUGCAAUUAAUCACAAUCUUGUGAAGCAAGAUGUUGAAUGCACCCAUCCUUAAGUAGGUGAUCUUUUCAUCUGUUCUCCUGUCCUUCACCAGUUCAAGAGUGGCCCGAGCAAUGGAAACUUUGAUUGGCUGAUAUCUUCCUCUUUCGACUUCUAACACAUCUGCCAGCAUAUUCAUAUCCACAACAUAAUCUUGGUUUUUAACGCUGAACGAGAAUCUAUUCGCAUCCAAAAAGCUUAGAUUUGAAUAGAAAUAUGCAGUUAAUUCAGCAUAGGCCUCUGUAGAGUCAGAGCAGAACUUUUCAAGUUGAAGAUAACUGAACUUUUCCCUCAAGUUCAUAUUCACAGCAUCCAGAAAAUCGAAAUCUACACUCCUAGGGUUUAUCACCCCACGCUUCAGCAAUUUCGAGUACAGAUCCUUUUGCUCCUUUGAUCUGAACAAAUCUCCCCUUUUUCCUUGGUUAUCAACCGCAACACCCAUUUUCGGUUGGAAUUGACUGUACAAUUUAUCAUCAUCAUUCCCAUCUACAGGAUUCGGCCCCCAGUCACGAGGAUCACUUGGGAUAUUUGCAAGGGUUUCCUCAGCCACCCCUUUUCGAGCAAUUCCCAAACUUUCCAUUUUUUUCAGAAAGAUAUAUUCGUUCCCAUGUCCUUUGUCUUUAAGAAAAUCAUCAAUGUAGUUCAAAGGAGUACGAAUUCCUUUUAGGGCACGAUAUAACUGGUAAAUAUAAGUGGGCUUUUGAACUCUUACAGGGUCUGCAUCCUCGAUGAUUUCUUCCUGUUGUUGAUGAUCAACGCCUUGAGGACUAGAUGGAGGAGAAUGACACUGUUGAGAAUGUUGUGGGCUCGCUUGCUGAUCUGGAGUCACUUCAUCUUCAGUAAGAUCGAAGUGCGUAGGCCCCUCACUCAUCCGCCGUGGUCCCCUGCUUGCAAUUCUCGAAGACUUUCUUGAAGAUGACAUCUUAGUUUUUGGAAGAUUCCUUGCUUGACUUUCCCAGGAAAGAUGACAACUUUUUAAGGAUUAAACGAAGAAGACAAACGGGAAUGGAGGAUCGAUGCUUUCUAGGGUUUUUGAGAGAAAAGUGAAGAGGAAUCGAUAGUUCACGAUCGGUUAAGAAGAGGGAUAAACGAACCAUCAUAAAGGAAAUAAAAAUAUGCCUUUUCAAAAUAACUGUCUUUUUCCGCAAAAAUAGCCAUUUCAAAAAUAACUUCCCUUUUGAAAAUGAAACGAUGCAAUAUUUACUUCAAUUAAAUAUAGCAACAAUUUAAACACAGUCUGACAAUCGUACCUUUUCAAGAUGAGAUUCAAGAGAGAAAGACUUACAGUCUGACGGACGUACCAAGACUGUCUUUCAGAUAAAGUCUUGUAAGUCUGAGUCUGAAAGUCUUUAGACUUUGAUAUCCUCAUACCUCAAAAUGUUGAGUCUCGAGCGUAUAGACUCAAAUUGAUUUUUCUCCAAAGGCUUUGUGAAUAUAUCCGCCAGUUGAUUCUUUGAGUCAACAAAUUGAAUUGAAACAUCUCCAUUUUGAACAUGGUCUCUUAUAAAAUGAUGUCGAAUCUCUAUAUGCUUUGCUCUUGAGUGGAGAAUUGGAUUUUUGGUGAGGUUGAUAGCGCUGGUGUUGUCGCAAUUAAUUUCCGUGCAUGAGUCUUCAAUUUCAAAGUCUCUUAGCUGUUGUUUUAUCCAUAGAAUUUGCGAAUAGCAGCUUCCCAGAGCUACAUACUCUGCUUCUGUUGUUGAAAGAGACACAGUGCUUUGUUUCCUUGAAAACCAAGACACUGUCCUGCUUCCAAGCAACUGGCAAGUUCCCGAAGUGCUCUUUCUAUCAACUCUGCAAUCGGCCAGAUCUGCAUCUGAAUAUCCCAUAAGAUUAAAGUCUCCCUUCUUAGGAUACCAAAGACCGAUGCUUGAUGAUGAAGCAACGUAUUUAAUGAUGCGUUUCGCAGCACUGAGAUGGGAUUCUCUAGGAUCUGAUUGAAACCUAGCAUAGAUGCAAACACUCAACAAGAUGUCAGGUCUAGAAGCAGUAAGAUAAAGGAGUGAACCAAUGAUGCUUCUGUACAGCUUUUGAUCAACUUUCUUCCCUUCUUCAUCUUUGUCUAUCUUCAAAGAACUUGACAUCGGUAUGUCGGUCUUUUUGCACUUUUCUAAUCCAAAUCUUUUGACAAGAUCAUUAACAUAUUUUUCUUGAUAAAUAAAGGUUCAUUCCUUCAAUUGUUUUACUUGAAGACCAAGAAAGAAUGUUAACUCUCCCAUCAUACUCAUUUCAAAUUCAUCCUGCAUAGACUUAGAAAAUUUCUUGCACAUAUUUUCAUUAGAAGAUCCGAAUAUAAUGUCGUCCACAUAUAUUUGAACAAGUAAGAAACUUUUGUUCUCCUUUUUGAUAAAUAAAGUAGUAUCCACUUUACCUUUGACAAAACCAUUUUGUAUUAAAAACUUACUUAAUCUGUCGUACCAAGCUCGAGGUGCUUGCUUUAAACCAUACAGAGCCUUCUUCAGUCUGAAGACUGAGUCUGGCUUCUUUGGGUCUUCAAACCCUGGUGGUUGUUCCACAUAAACUUCCUCUUGGAUGACUCCAUUUAGGAAGGCGCUUUUGACGUCCAUUUGGAAUAACCUGAAAUUCUUAUAACAAGCAAACGCAAGUAAUAGUCGAAUAGCUUCUAACCUUGCUACUGGAGCAUAAGUCUCAUCAUAGUCUAUUCCUUCUUCUUUCAUAUAUCCCUUGGCCACGAGUCUUGCUUUGUUUCGUAUGACUUUUCCUUUCUCAUUCAUCUUGUUUCUGAACACCCAUUUAGCUCCAAUAACAGUUUUACCUUUUGGUUUGGAUGUCAAUUUCCAGACAUCAUUAAUGCUAAACUGUCUGAGCUCUUCUUGCAUAGCUUCAAUCCAGCUUUCAUUAGAUAAAGCUUCUUCUAUGCUUUUUGGUUCAAUUUUAGAAACGAGAGCCACAACACUAGACUUUUCUCGCCUUUUGGAUCUAGUGCGAAUUCCUUCAUUCAUUUCGCCGAUUAUAAGAUCUUUGGGAUGACUGGACUUAUGCUUCCAGUUACUCGUUGAUCUGUCUGGUUGAUGAUUUCUUUCUUUGUUUGGAUCUUCACGAACAUCUUGAAGCUGGUUUUCCAGAGUCUGAGAUGCUUCUUGAGAUGUAAGCUUUGGAAGAUCUGGAGCAGGUUCAGACUCUUCUUGAUGAGUCUGACUUGAUUCAUCUUGUGUUGAGUCUUGGAAUUUGACAUUCAUUGACUCCUCCAUAAACUGGCUCUUCUUGUUAUAGACUCUGAAGGCUUUGCUUGAUGUAGAAUAUCCAAGGAAGAUACCUUCAUCUGAUCUUUCUUCAAACUUACCAACUUGAUCUUUUGCAUUUUUCAAUAUAAAACAUUUGCAACCGUAUACAUGAAAGUAUGAAACAAUAGGCUUCUUAUCUUUGAACAAUUCGUAAGGGGUUUUCUCUAGAAUAGGUCUUAAGAAGAUUCUAUUGAUGAUAUAACAUGCUGUUGAAACAGCUUCAGCCCAAAAUCGUGAAGAAAUCUUGCUUUCAAAUAAAAGAGUUCUAGCCAUUUCCUGAAGAGAUCUGUUCUUUCUUUCCACAACUCCAUUUUGCUGAGGAGUAUAUGGAGAGGAGAACACAUGAUUAAAGCCAGAUUCAUCACAAAAUUUUGUAAAAUCUUGAUUUUCAAAUUCACUUCCAUGAUAUGUUCUUAUACUUGAGAUAACACAUCCUUUUUUCAUUUUGAACCUUUUUAGCAAACUUUUCAAAAUACGAGAAGGUUUCAGACUUACUUGCAAGGAAAUAUACCCAAGUAAAACGGGAGUAAUCGUCCACAAUUACUAGGCAAUAUUUCUUACCUCCAAUACUCUGUGUUCUGGUUGGUCCGAAGAGAUCCAUAUGCAGCAACUGUAGUACAUGAUUAGUAGAGACAUGAUUUAUUGGCUUGAAUGAAUUUCUUAUCUGCUUUCCCAGAAUACAUGGAGUGCAUGGAUCAGUCUUUUGAUAAGGUAAUUUGGGUAGUCCUUGAACAAGCUGCUUUGAUGAGAUUUUGGCUAAUUGCUUCAUGUUAACAUGACCAAGCUUUCUGUGCCAUAAGCUUGCUUCGUCUUGAAUUGAGAUAAAACAUUGCGAUUCAUUUGGUUUCACAUCCAGAAGAUAAAUGUUUCCAUGUCUACGACCCAUGAAAGACUGAGUAGAGUCUUUACUGAUUCCAGAACAUAUUCCUUCUUGAAAAAAGAUCUUGAAACCAGUAUCACACAAUUGACUAAUGCUGAGAAGAUUGUAAUUGAGUCCUUCCACUAAGGAAACAUUACUUAUUGUGAGAUUUCCAAUUUUCACAGUUCCAAAUCCCACAAUACUCCCUUUGUUGUUUCCUCCAAAUGAAACUUUUCCACCAUUUACUUGAGCAAUCUUUAUAAAACAAUUUGAGUCUCCUGUCAUGUGUCUUGAGCAUCCACUGUCAAGAUACCACUUUACCUUUUUCUUGACGGUGACCUGCAUUUAAAAAAGAGUCUCAAGCUUUCUUUGGUACCCAAACUUUCUUGGGUCCUUUUGUGUUAGUAACAUAAGCAGUAUUAGCCCAUAUUCUCUUAACAGGUUUCCAAACCAUAGGACACUCUUUUUCAAGGUGAUCCGGACUGUUGCAUUUUGAACAUUUUAGAGCAUUUCUUCCUACAGAUUUUACAAAAACUUUCUUGAAGUGAUUUUUGUAAACCUCUCUCGAGAGUCUUUUCUUAAUUCUUUCUUUUACUUUAGGAAAAUCAAUCAGGGGAAUUGUUUCUUCUGUCAUACCUAAACCGGACUUAUUGAAGUAAGGUCUUUGAGCUGAAAGAAUUUUCUCAAGUUUUUCGGACCCUAUUGAAAAUUUCUUUGAGAUAUUUGAUAAGUCUGUUUUUAAAAAAGCAUUUUCUUUUAAAAGAUCAUCUUCAUUUUCUUUAAGAGUGGAAACAGUCAAGUCAAGACUUUUAACUCUUUCUACUAAAACAUUUUCCUUUUGUUUUAGAGCUGAGUUUUCCUUUUUCAGUUCGGAAAUUCUUUUGAGAGAAGUCUUAAGACUAAAACAUAAUUCAUCAAUAUAUUUAGAAACUUUGACAGGAAUUUUAAUAUCACUUGCCUCAAAUUUACUGUCUGAGUUUGAUCCAGAGUCUGAGUCUGAUUGUGCCAUCAGACAUAGAUUGGCAUAUUCAUUAUCACUUUUUUCACACUCUGUGUCACUCCAUGUUUUGGCUUUGAGAGCUUUUCGAAAUCUUUCAGCUUUUCCUUUCUUCUUUUUCAGAAGAGGACAGUUGGGUCUGAUGUGUCCCUUUUUCUUACAUUCAAAGCAGACUAUGUCUUUGUUUGGUUCCUCAUCAUCAACAGACUUGGUCUGCUGUCUUUGAAAGCUUUGUUUCUUUGAAUUGAACCUUCUUCCUUUUCUAUUCAGUUUUCUGAAUCUUCUUAUCAUGAGAGCAAGCUCCUCAUCGUCCAUAUCUUCUUCAGAAUCUGUAUCAUCAGAAUCAUUAUUUGAUUUUAAUGCAAUGGAUUUCUUACCUUUUGGAUCUUCAUCUUCAUUGAUCCAUUCCACUUCAUAAGACUGAAGAGUUCCAAUUAGCUCGUCGACAGAUAGUGGCAUAAUUCUUUGCGUCUCUCUUAUCGAAGUCUUUAUGUGAUUCUAAUCCCUGGAGAGUCCACGCAGUAGCUUGUUUACCUUCAUGGGAUCAGAAGUUGGUUGACCUUGAUUUUCAAGACCAUUCACAAUAUCUGUAAAACGACUAAACAUGUCAGAUAUAGAUUCUCCUGGUUUCAUUCUGAAGGCUUCGUAUUGACCAAGAAGAAUGUUGAUUAUAGUUUCCUUCACUCGAUCUGUUCCUUCAUAAGUGAUAUGCAAUCUAUCCCAAACUUCUUUUGUUGUACCACAAGAAGAUAUUCUAUUAUAUUCAGUUGGUGAUAAAGCACAAUAUAAGGAGUAAAUUGCUUUUGCAUCGAGUGCUUGUCUUUUGUUUAUUUCUUCCUGAGACAUUCCGCUGGUUUCAUCAGUUUCUUUUCCUCUUUCAGAUACUGAUGCAGUGGUAGGAGUAAUUCCUUUUUCUACAACGUCCCAUUCCAGAGGAUCCUUUGAUCGAAGGAAAGCUUUCAUCUUGUUCUUCCAGAUGUUGUAAUCCUUUCCAUCAAAGUAGGGUGGUCUGGUAUUGCUUUGCCCUUCCAUCAACCCUGGUGCUAGCAUACUAGCCAUGGAUCUUUUACUACGAAGUAAAACACUUCAAAUAAAGUAAGUACACAGGCUCUGAUACCAAUUGAUAUUGCUAGUAUGAGUACCUAGAGGGGGGUGAAUAGGUAUAUAAAGAGUUUUUCUCAAGCAAUUGCACAAUACUAGACAGUUGGAUGAAACGAUAAUCAAAGUAAGACUGAGAGAAGAGAAAAUUUAACACGCGGUUUAUAGUGGUUCGGCUUAUAUCAAGCCUACGUCCACUCUUCUUCACUGACAGCCUAUUGGCUAGAUUCCACUAUGAACAAGAGAGAGGUUACAGCACAGCUUUGCCUUGAUUCCACAGUGUAGAUGUUCUACUACACCUCCUCAAGAUUUCUCACAAAUAUAGACUCUCUCUUUCGUAUACAAGUAUUCGCUCAAAGGAUUUGUCUAAACAAAAAGAAGCUUCAGACUUUGGAAUUAUUCUAUCGCGCACACCUUGAACAACUAAGACAGUCUUCCUUAUAUACUCCUUUAUGCCAUUAUACCCGUUGGCACUUACCAAAGGAAUUCCUCAAAUCUACCCGUUGGACGGAAUCAAUUAGGAAGAUUGUCCAAGCUAUAAAUGGAACGUGUUGAUAGCCCAUCAAUCAUGUUCGCCCAUACAAUCAGGAUCUCGGUUUCCAUAAGCAGAACCUUCCAAUAAUAUUUAGGCAAUCACCGGAUCUUCAAUUAUCGAAUCAAUCUUCGAUCAAUCAAAGGACUCCGUUUAUGUCUUCUCCAGCCAUGAGAUCUUCUCCAGUUGAUAAGGUUAAAUCCUCAACGAAACAUCCAGUUCUGGAUAACCUUUCUUCAACGGAUUAGAGACUGUCAAUGAGGAUAGACUUUGAGUCUUGAGUCUGGCUGUCCCAAGGUCUUCAGACUUUAAAUAGCAGAGUCUGCAAGCCUUCAGACUAGACUGAUAGAAACGAUUUGUCAACUUCAAAACACUUCAAGAAGAUUUCUCCAACACAAUCCUUGUAGCAACCUCUGCAACUUGUGCAGUUGCUCGUCUUCUCACCUAAGAAACACAUAACAAAUGUAAAUUUUAGCCCAUAAAAAGGCCAAACACAGUGAUGUACAACUUACAGGAUAUUUUUUUCUUGUUUGCUCAACGGUGGACUCAGUUGUUAUUGUUGCUGUCUUACCAAUUCUAGUCCUUAUCCCUGCACUUGAGCCUACAACAUGGCCUUUUUCUGGCCCUUUAGUAGGCCUUACAACAAUGUGCUGUAUUAGGAUUAUGACCAACUACAACGAAUAAUUACACAUCUCAUUUUCAUAGUGGAAACACAUGGAGAAAACUUCUCAAAUUACAAGUGCAUGACAGAGGAAAAGCACAAGAGAAGCUAGUACACAUGGUCAACCAUCAAACUCUAUCGAAUAAGAACUGUAAAGUUACUGAGAUAAAGAGGAUACUUACCUUACAGUAUGGCUUUCUGUUGCCCUUUAGUAGACAUUACAGCAGGGCCUUCUGUUCUCCCUUCAAUAAGCCCAACAAGAAACUCUUUGUAAGUCAUGUCCCUGGCAUUGAAUCAACCAUUACAUCUUGCUAUUGAUACUGCUUUUUCAGCUCACAACCUUUCUUAUCGUGCCCUUCCUUGCGGCAAUAGGAGCAUUUCAUAUUUGAUCUAGUCCUACUCAUCCUUUGACUUGAUGCCUCUUCCUAUUGCAUUCUUCGUCUCUUUUUUGGCCUUCAUAUUUGCUUCUUCAGCGGUAAAGGUAGAGGGCUUUAAUGAUUUGUUGGCUCCCAAAAUUUGCUGCUUCUGAUAGGCUACAUCAUGAAUUGGUAUGAAGCAAGGUAUGAGCUUUUUUUGUACCAAUCAUCUAGGUAAUCAUCUAGGUUUUCUUGCUUCAUCUGAAUAGCACAAAUGGCAUGAGCACAGGGAAUUCCAUUCAGUUGCCAAGCUCGGCAUGAACACUUUCUUCUAUCCAAGUUGACAACAUACUUAUCAUGAUUUGGAAUAAUCUCAUACCCAUUAUCUUCAUUCCAAACUGGAUGGCAGAACCUACUAACAGCAAUAUUUGCAUCUAAUCUCUUCACAAUCCUAGGGCCACAGUCUCUACUCCAUUUUGUAGCAUCAUCUCUUUGCCUAUGCAGUCUAGUCAUAACCAUAACUCGAAUAUCAUCAAGCAUGCUGAUGAUUGGUUUGCACCUAGCCUCUAAAAUUCUACCAUUGAAAGCUUCAUUGAGGUUGUUAUCAAUGUUAUCGCAUUUGAACUCUUCGCUGAAGAAGACCCGACACCAGUGCUUAGCUUCUGUCUGGAAGAGUGUAUCAAAACCUUCAUUUGUCAGCUGUAACAAUCCUUGUUUCGCUAAUUUGAAAUCAACCAUAUUCGUACUCUUUGCUAUCUGCCAGAACUGCUUCUACAACAUAUCUCCUUUGAAGUUCCUUGACCAGUUUGCAUAUAUGUGCCUCGUGCACAUUCUAUGCUCAGCAUGUGGCAUCAACUCAGCCAAUGCAGGAAUAAGUCCAUACAAAAAUUCAAACCAAUAAAUACAAGUCAAGAAAAAUAUGCAAGUGAUUAAUAUAUAAAUGAGUGAUUAUUGACAUGAAAUUACCUUCUAUUGGUUGCUCAUGAAUGCCCAUCCUCCCCCAUCGGUUAUCACAAGGUCAGUCAUCAAAUUUUUUAGGAACCAUGACCAAAUAUCCUUGUUCUCUAUCUUUACCACCGCCCAAGUUAUCGGGAACAUUUAAUUAUUGGCAUCUCUCCCCACAGCAACCAACAACUCCCCCUUGCAUAAACCCUUUAGAAAGCAUCCAUCCAAUCCUAUAACUCUUCUACAACCAACCAAGAAGCCCCGUUUGCAUGCAUCAAAACAGACAUAAAAUCUAUCAAAUUUAGGCCAAAGAUCAGGGAGUGGCCUCUUCACAACCUCUACAUAUACCCUACUGGAUGGGUUUUGAAACAUGUAUUCACCAGCAUAAUUCCAUACCUGUGCAUAUUCUUCUUUAUACCCACCCAUCAAUAUUUUCAUCACCCUUAUCUUAGCUCUCUUACAUUGAUUCCUCGACACAUUAACCUCCACUUGCUCCUUCACUAAUUGUUGAAAUUGAGAACUCUUGAUCUCGGGCAUUGCUUUGAUAGUAUUAAAAAAAUUCUUUGAUAACCACACACUUGUUACCCUUUUAUUAUUAAAGAUAAUUGGACAAGUAUGCUCCUCCUGAAAGGACCUAAGCUAGAAUGACCUAUUCUUACUAAGCGCAGCAUAGAGCUUCCAUGAACAAUUAGGUUGUGAGCACUUAGCUCUCACAAAUUCCUUCGUGUUUCUAAUAAAUUUAACGCUCCUCUGUUCACCAAUUGAGUUCUUCACAACAGCUUCCUUGAACUGUUUGGCAUUGUCAAAUCUCAUGCCCACCGACAAAACAGGUUUAUCAACAGUUGAAUCAUAGAAAGGAUACUUACUUUUUCUUCGAGGAGCAGGUUCUUCAUCAUCAUUGUCAAGCUCAUUUUCCGAACUAGUAACUUCAUCGCCACAGCUUUCUUCAUCUUCACUUCUAUUACCCUCAGCUUGAUCUCCAUCCCUAUUUACUGGCUCGGACCUUUUUGCUAAAGCUACAAGUUUUUUUUUCUCAGAAAUUCCCUUUGCUUUUGUCUUGACUGUACGAGUUCAUCAUCAUCUUCGUCACUUGGAAAAUUUACUAAAGCCAAACAUUCAUCUUCCGAUUCAUUAGAUAAAGCAAUUUCCCAUUCUAAUCCAAUGAAGUCUUCAUCGCCCACAUCUUCACCCAAAUCUUCACCCAAAAUUUCAGGACAUCUCCCUCUUUGUUCAUCUCUAUCAAUAUGACUUAUCUCCCUCUCAUUUUGCCCUUCAUCUAACCUAAACUUAUCCCCGACUUGAUUACUCGUUUGAACAAGAUCCCUCACUUCUCCUCCUUCAGUGGUCGUCUGCUCAUCCACAUCCUCAUCCUCAUCCUCACUAUAAUACUCAACAUAUACCUUAACUUCUUCAUUGUGAAGAUAAUGGUAAAUGAUAUCCUUAAUACCAUUAUCGUUGUUAAAAAAUCUUAACCCAUCCUUCAAUUCCUUCCCAGGAACACAGUAAUGUAGUUUUUGCACUUUGCAUCGUAAAAAAUACACCAAAUCUCUCAGAAAAUCAAUAUAUGAUGGCUUCCAAACAUUGACAUAAAUAGUACCUUAAUUUCCACUAUUUUAUUAUCAAUCUUCAGUGCCAAUAACAAACUCUCCACCAUAGUAAACAAUGACGCUUACCUGAUUCGUGUCCAUGUCGAUGCUGCACCCAAUGAAAAAAAAAAGAGUCAUUGUCGUUUUGUUGGAACCACAUGACAGAAUCGACAACUUCACAUGUAGGUCCUUAUCGUUUUGUUGUCAAGGAACAAAUGCGACUAAAAUCUCCCCAAUUCGGUGGAUUUACAGAAAUAAAAGAAACCGAAUUAAAUAAACAAAGUGAGGUCCCCACCACUCAUUUUUCAAUUCAAUCACAUUCACAUUCGGUCCCCCACAAAAGCAGUCCAAUUAAUUAAAUAAAAAAAUUCGGUCCACCACUGUUUCCCUCCGAGUCAAGCCUCUCCGCACCAUUUUUUCUGUUCGGUCCUCACAAUAGAAAACGAACAAACGAUGGAAGAAUCAAUUUUUCUAUUCCGUCCCCAUAAAAGUGACAUCCCCACCACUUUCCCCACUACUUUCCGCUUGAGCCAAGCCCUCAAUUUGCCCUCCGUGCCCUAAUUUGCCCGUCGGAACCCUAAUUUUUUCGCAAAAUUGAUCCACGUAGAGAACAUGACAAACUUGAACGAUCGUGAACAAUGGCGCAACUACAACGGUGGCCAAGCGAUAGUGGGCGAGCGACAGCAGGCGAGCGAACGACGGUGGGUGAACGACAGUGGGUGAGCGAGCUCCGGCCAGCGUCGAGGAGAAUAAUAUACGAACCCUAUUUUACUCCCUCUUCAGCAACAUCGUUUUUUGCUAUGGAGCAACGCGGCGUCGUUUCUUAUGUGAAUCCACGGUGGAUGGCAAGAAACAACGUUGUUUCUUACAAAGAAAGGAAAACGGCGUCGUUUUAUGCUAUCCACCGUGGACAAUCUUAAGCCACAUCGUUUUUUUUUUAAAUAUAAAAGCCACGUAUUUAUUUUGGCCGAAAUUUCUCGCCAGUGGCACCAAAGUGAUCGUUUUUUCUCCGAUUUGGCACUUAAGUGAUUUGACGGAAACUUUUGACACCAAAGUGAGCGCCGUACACAACUUAUGGCACCAUUAGUGUACUUUUCCCCAAGGUUAAGGCUUGCCACACUGAAUGUAACUUCGCUUUGGGACCCAACCAACGCUAGAACGCCACCCGUCUUCAAAAGAGACAUGUAAGGAUCAAAUAGGUGAUCAGCAGAUGCCGUGUCGAUUAUAAAGUCCAGGGACUUAGCCAUGGCCUGCAUGUAUUGGAAUCAUCAGAUCACGGUAGCACUUGACCUUAAUGGAUCUAAAGUAUUGAUAAUUUUAAAUCUUCCCGCCUGCCUUCGUCUAUUCUUGGUCAGAUGAGAUAACGAAGUGGUCAGCACCAAGCAAGCUCAGUGCUUCCUCCUUUUUAGAAAUGCUUGUACUAAACAUAGCGAAUUUCAGUCCAUAAGCCUUCCCAAGCUUAAUUGCCAUGUGACUGAGCCCACCGAGUCCAAUUACACCAAGAGACUUACCCGGUUGGUUCAUCUUGUGACGCACCAUUUGAGUGUAUAUUGUGAUUCCAGCACAAGGCAAUGGUGCUGCUAAAGCCAACGGGAAGUUUUCUGGAAUCCUGAAGCAGUACCUGUUAAUGAAGCACCACAAUUAAGUUUCCAAAUCACACCAAAGGAGGAAGGGAUUUCCCAAUAGAAUCAGCAUCCCAUCUUUUUUGUACAACGGGAUUCAAAUCACAUUUUACUUGCUUAGAGCACAAUUCAACAUCAUGUGGUUUCUGUGAUUCUUUUUCUGACCACAAAUUGCUUAAGACGAAAACUUCUUGCUGUAGCGACGAAAGUAAAGCCACUGCAGCAUACAGGAGGCCAUACUUGAUCAAAAUUGAGAAAAGAGGCUUGCUCUAACAGAGUACACUGGAAGCAUAUUGCAUAUGCAUGGCAGAUCAUGUAAUUUCUCUAUUCCCCUCAAUCAUGUCUCUAAGGGACACGAUAUUCCCGUGACUGUCGAAUACAAGAAUCCGUGAAAGCACGUACAUUUUAUUACCCAUUUGAUCUAACACUUACCAUCUAACUCUUGGAAACAAUCUAAAAAAAGGGAGGAAGAGGAGAUAGAAGGCAAGAAUUGAGCAAUUUCCAUCUGUUUCUCUCUUUUAAUUAAGAGUUAAUAUCCUAAAAAACUCCAAAUUGGUACACAUGUGACAAAUUUACCCCGAUGGACUAUUAAAAACCCUAAAAUUAUAUAUUUAUGACAAAUUUACCCCAAACUAAUUUAUUCGACCACAAAAAAAAUGGUAAAUUUGUGACAAAUAUAUCCUCCACUAAAUUGAAUUAAUACCAUAGUAAACCGUGACAAACGGAGCGUAAAAUCUCAAAUUGAUAUACUAGUCAACUGUCACAUGUCAUUUAACUUAAUAAUUUGACAGUAAAAUUUAAUGAAAACUAAUAGAAGGUAAAUUUGUCACAAGUGUACCAGUUUAGAGUAAAUUUGUCAAAUAUAUAACAAUUUAGAGUUUUUUGUGGUAAAAAAAAAUAGUUUGGAGUAAAUUUGUCACAGGUAUAUCAGUUUGGGGUUUUUUAGGGUAUUAACCCUAUAAUUAAUUUAGUUUUAAAUUUAAUCUUAUUAAUUUUUCAUGAAAAAUUCAUAUGUUAAAUUUAUUGGCUCACAUGUCAUUGUCACUUGAUGUGUAUGAUAUAUAGAAUAGUCCAAGAAAUUUGACUUUAGAUACAUGGGAACCCGCGAAUGGUCAUACAUUGUCGAUUACACAUUCAACAUGAUGUAUUAGCUAAUCAUAGUCCUCUAACGGUUUAUAUUUGCUUAAUAUAUUUCAAGAAUAUUAAUUUGUUAGACUUGUCCGCUCACACGCCGCUGUCACUCGAUGUGUAUGAUAAGCAGAAUAGUCGAAGAGCUUUGACUUUAGAUACUUGGGAGUGUCUAUGCUUGUUUUAUGUCUAUUAUGCUUGCAAUGCUUCUUGUUUUGAGUGGACAGUACAAAUAUUUAAGUCCGUGUCAAUUUGAACAAUUUUCUUUAUUAUAGAGCAACAGUCUUUAAUCUAUUGUGUUCUUGACCACAAAAAACCAAAUAACAAAUAAGUAUAAAUUAUUGUAGGGUCCAACGACAAUCUUUAAUCUAUUGUGUUCUUGACCACAAAAAAUCAAAUAAUAAAUAAGUAUACAUUAUUAUAGGACCCACUCCUUUAAAAAUUUGUUGUUCACAAAAACUUAUUUAUUCUCAUAAUAACCCAAAGUUAUGCUAGCAAAAAUGCAAUUUAAUCCUAAAAUUUGUCACGAAAUGCAAUUGAGUCCUAAAAUUUUCAAAAAGUACAAUUAAUUAUAAAGAUUUAUCAAAAUUGGUCCAAUUUAAGUCAUUCCAUUCAUUGCAAUUUUUGAAAGUUUUAGAGCUCAAUUAUGCUUUCCUAACAAGUUUUAUGACUUAAUUAUAAUUUUUGAAAAUUUUAGAACUUAAUUGUAAUUUAUGAUAAGUUUUAGGAUUUCUAGUACACUUAUCUUUUUUUUUUGUUUUUCACCUCAUUAAUCUUUUUUGCAACAAUGAGCUUGACAUAUCUCUGUUUUGAGGAUUUCAGUGGCUAGGGGAAACACAGGGAUGUCCUCUAAUGAAUCAACAAUCUUCCUGCCAUGACAAUGCCGGAAGAGAGAUGAGUGUCUUACAUAGUUAACAAAAAUGUUCAUGUUAUAAUUGGUAAGCAUUCGCUUUCCCAACGUGCAUGAACAUUUCCGGCGAUGAAACAUUCGUGAGGAGCCAGUAAAGACAUCCUGUUAUUUAAACCGGCAAGAGGAUAUCGAGCUUGCUCUAUUGGCAAGUAUAUUGUUGUCAGAUAAGCCUAAUAAAUCCGAUAUUUUCAUACAAAAAAUCGUCAUCGAGGCCAACUUAAUCCAAAAUGCCAAUGGACAGGCUUGGGUAAGCUAGUGGAUAGGUAUGCCGCUUUAUCUUAUGUCGUGUUAUCUCACGAGAGAUGGUGCUGCGUUCUCUUUAGAAUGCACAUGACUUGGGAUAGGAAAACCUUAGGAUCCGACUAGGAGGAAGGAAAAAAGCAAUCUAUUGUCGGGCCAAUAUAAGAUCAUUUCAUGUCAAACUCCGCAGUCUUGAGGCCAUGGAAUCUACGACAUACUUGCUCAUUCACAAGGACUGAGCAAAUAAAUGAUAAAAUAAGAGCAAUGGUCGUCAUUGAUCGUCUGCCCUUUAACUGAUUGGAUUCUAAAUAUUUUAUUUUCAAUUGGGGUCUAAAUAUUUUAUUUGAUUCAAUUGACUUCUAAAGAUUUCCAAUUUUAGUCAAUCAAGUCCCUCAAAUAUUAUCCUCGGAAAGAGCCACAUGGCUGUGAUUUUCCUAGUGGCUAAGGAGAUGCUUGAGGAGAAAACCUGUAGGAGAGGCGAAGCCAUCCAAGCAGAACUCUCAAGAAGUCAAUUUUUCAGACAGUUUCUCAAUCAUCACAUAGAGAAGUACCAGGAUUUCAUUACCCAUUUCACUUGUUUCUGCUAUAAAACUCACGAGUAUCGAAGUAUAUCAGGCAUAGUUUAUUUGUACUCCAGCAGAGCAAUUAAGAAGGCAUAGAUGAUGCUCUCCUCUAGCUGAAAGCCCGAAACUCCCACUUUUCCUCUGUGUGAUCAGCCUUGCCAGCAACAAUUUCCAACUACCCAAAUUGAUGUUGAAAUUUAAUCAAAUAGACUCAGAGAAGAAAACAAACAAGAGAAUUGUUGCUGUAACUUUCGUUACUUUAUUCAUCAGAACAUAAGCCUAUUAAAUAGGCAGAACAUCCAAACCACUUAGCAAGACAAUAGCUAUAGAACAACAACAAAGACCCACUAACAUACCCCACUAACCAGAACAUAUGCAGAAACUAACUCCUAAAAACAAGCCACAUCCUAUUGACUAGGACUCCACUAUUACAUUAUUGAAGACACGUAAAAACUGAAAGUUAACUACUUCAACAAUUGAUGGUGUCACUUCAAGGAGUUCUCAAUGUCAAUCACGAAUCGAUACUUAACAUCUCUCUUGAUGAGCCUCUCCAGAGCUUCGUUGGCGUAAUCGAUCGGUAUCACUUCAAUGUUUGGGUAUAUCUUCUGCACCGCACACAAGUCUAUCAUUUCUUGGGUAUUCUUUGUUCCUCCCGUUACGCUACCCGUAACAGUUCUCAUAUCUGCCAAAAGUUCACCGCGAGCAACUUAAUUCACCUAUCAGGUAUGAAAUUUCAUUUAGUAAUCAGAUUUGAGAACAAAAACAUACUGAGGUUAAGGCUGGCUGGACUGAAUUUAACUUCGCUCGGGACGCCGACCAAUGCUAGAAUGCCACCCGUCUUCAAAAGAGACAUGUAAGGAUCAAAUGGGUGAUCACCGGCUGCCGUGUCGAUUAUAAAGUCCAGGGACUUAGCAAUGGCCUGCGUGCAUUGGAUUUAUCAGAUCACAACAGAAUUUGACCACCAUGGAUCUCAAUGUGGAUAAUUCUAGUUUUUCCUCUUUUUACCUUCAUCUGCUCCAGGUCAGAUGAGAUAAUGAAAUGGUCAGCCCCAAGCAGGCUCAGUGCUUCCUCCUUUUUAGAAAUGCUUGUACUUAACACUGUGACUUUCAGUCCAAAAGCCUUCCCAAACUUAACUGCCAUAUGACCGAGCCCACCAAGUCCAAUUACACCUAGAGACUUACCAGGUUGGUUCAUCUUGUGACGUAUCAUUGGAGUGUACACCGUGAUUCCAGCACAGAGCAAUGGCGCUGCUAGAUCCAUCGGGUAGUUUUCUGGAAUCCUGAAGCAAUACCU
Molecule: long non-coding RNA, 71315 nt
Filed under: Eucalyptus grandis
Lineage: Eukaryota; Viridiplantae; Streptophyta; Magnoliopsida; Myrtales; Myrtaceae
Description: long non-coding RNA (EGRA_LNC002640)
Source: RNAcentral